This 59056-nucleotide long non-coding RNA is filed under the name Sorghum bicolor (sorghum). RNAcentral's name for it is "long non-coding RNA (SBIC_LNC012091)". The stretch from base 35595 to 35701 matches the Rfam family "Plant small nucleolar RNA R71". Lineage: Eukaryota; Viridiplantae; Streptophyta; Magnoliopsida; Poales; Poaceae. The record is from RNAcentral.
UUUUAGGUUAUUGAUAUGGGAGAAGACGAGUAUGAUCCACCCGUCAUCCUUGGAAGACCGUUCCUCAGCACCGUUAAAGCAAUCAUCUACAUUGGAAUCGGAGAAGUCCACAUGCACUUCCCCUCUGAGAAGGUACGCCACUAUUUUACUGACCCUAACUAUAUAGUUGAAGACUCUAAGCAGGUCAGGACAAGAAGAAGACAACGCAACCGCAACCAGAGGAGGCAAAAUCAUCAAGGACGGAUGGGUAGACUAUGAUGGAGAAGUUGUAAGGUCUGAAGACAUACAGCUUGAACAGAACUGUCGUGAGGAGACCAUAGCACCGAGUCAGGUGUGUAGACAGAAGAUAACUAUACACGAAGAGGAGGCGCCGCCGGAACCACCGACUACGCCAUCUAGCAAAUCCCAGGACAACUGAGAAAAUGAGAGUCCCAUUCGGAGGACUUAAAAACACCGAACGCCUUGCCAAGAGAAUUCAAAGAUCAAAGAAGACUAGCAGACGGAGGACAUCCUAAUCGCUGUCAGGGUGCUGCCGACAUUCAAAUACACCUCCGCCACCUGCUAGCUACAUCAGGAGAAACUACUUCAAAAUCCAACUAAGUGUUCUACUCACGUUUAUAUUAUACUCAAAUAAUAAAAAGGUGCAUAAUCAUAAAAACCCAAAUAAAGAUUUUGUGCUUAUAUAUACCUUUGCUUAGUUUGCUAAAUAAAUAAAUAAAUAAAGUUUGCUAUGAACCAUCAUGAUAAGCUCUCACAUAGAAAUGAUGAAUAGUUGCUCUGCCAUGACUAGUUCUCAAAACUGAAAUCUCUCUCAAGUUUAGGCAUGACUAUUAUUAAUUAAGAUUUGCUCUAAACCUGAACUUGUGGGGAGAGUACUUGAUCUAAAGUCUAAGUCGUUAACGGAUACGAUAUGGGAAGGUUGAGCUGCUGUUUAUCUAUUCCUAGAGAUGCUAGAAUUCUGGAGAAUUUUAUCUUUGAAAAAUCUUUAAAAUAACACAUGAUGAGUUCCUGUAUGACGAGAGUUUAAAUUCCUACCACAGCCAUAUAUACAUGCUUGCUAGACUUUGAGCCACACAUUUAUUUAUUUAUUACUGCUUAUGAGCAUUGAAUAUGGUCAAGCUGUGUAGACCCUUAGGAGCUUGUUAUGUGGUUUAAAUCAGGAUUCACUUGUACAUUCGCUCACACAUGCUACUUCUACUCCGGAAGUACCACCCACAUAUAUCCAUUUUCAUCUCCAGAACCACCCAAAAAUAUUCAACUCCUAAUGCGAGAGAGAAUAGCCAAAAAUAUUUCUGUUUUUCCCCUAUGAAAUAAACGCUCAAGUUAUCUUGGUUACUACCACUUGGUAUAUUAUUUCAGGAGAUGAGUGCUCUAAUAAAAAAAAGGAGAAAAAAGUAUAUGAGGAAAUAAAAAGGGGCAAGUGCCCGGAACCUCGAAAGAAAGGAAAAAGUGAGACGAGAGGUAAAAAUGGACAAGUGUCCGACAGUAGAAUUAGGGGUACAAGAUACCCACCUGAGAGAAAAGAAAGAGAAAAUAUAGAGCAUCUCAUUCUCCUCAAAAAGUUUCAAAAGAGCAAGAAAGGUAUGUAUCCCCUCAAAAGAGCACAAGUAGAAUUAGACUUUCACCAUUGUUAUCACCAUCAUCACCAUACACCAUUCAUUCGCCACACAUGCACAUCUCGAUUUGACUUAUUGACUUGUUCUUCUGGAUCCAUGGUUUGACUAUGCAAUAAAUGUCUUGUAUGUAUGUAUUAUCUGUCUCCCAUCUAUGAGCUCUAGAUAUCAAAAGCCUUAUUAGAGUAGGGUGAGAGAGAAGGCAAUGUCACUAUGCCUCAUACCAAAAAUACCACAUACUUUGAGAGAAGGUAUACACCAUUACUGCCUUGGUAAGGAUCCAAAAAUACCACAAAAGAGAGACUAGAGAGAGUCUUGCAAGGAAUCUCUGAGUUUUAUUUGAAAAUCUGCAAAAACUCCAGAGCUAUAGUUAAUCGAAGAACAAGAGACAUGGCGCUUGACUAGACCAUUCUAUCUUUUAACUGCUCAAGACACAGGUGACGGUUGCAAGCCCCAUGGUGAAAGGUAAUAUGACUAAGUUUAAAUCUUAACAGUUUACCCUAACCCAGAGAUGAGAUCUUAUUUGAACGCAUGUGUAUCUUUAAGGUAAAAUGUUUUGGCAAGCAACAUGAAUCCAAGAAAAUUUUAUUGAAAAUUUUUGUCAAAAGGGUUGUCAUCAAUUACCAAAAAGGGGGAGAUUGAAAGCCAUAGUUUGGUUUUGGAUAAUUUAUGAAACCUUAGUACUAACCUUAUACUAAGUGUGUGUAGACUUAAUGAGGUUGGUACAUGCCAAGUGAUGUAGCAAGAGAUGAUCAUUGUGAUGAUGGUGAUAACCACAAGAUGAUCAAGUGCUCAACUUGGAAAAGAAGAAAGAGAAAAACAAAACCCAAUGGAGAUCAAGGCAAAGGUAUUGCUUAGGGUUUCGGUUUUGGUGAUCAAGACACCAUAGAGGGUGUGAUCACAUUUAGGAUAGAUAGCCGUACCAUAAAGAUGGGAAUUCUUUGGCUAAGCGGUUAUCAAGUGCUACUAGGUGUCAUUGUUCAUGUGCAUGCAUUUAGAACCUAGUGAGCUAACAUAACUCCUUCGAAGAAAAUGAUUGUGAAAAUGCUAACACACUUGCACUUGUUGGUACACACUUGGUGGUUGUUGACACUGUUUUUGGACACGUAUCUUUUGAUGCGUACCUGGAGUUAAUAAAAAAUAGAUCGGCAGAUGAAGCAAUGGUAACUAGUCUACAGGGAAGUUGCCGAUAAAGGUGGUUGCCGAUGAAAAAGUAGUUGAAUGAGACUAAGUCCAGAGGUGGUGACGUGUUCGUGCCGAUGAUCAGUAUUAGUGUUUGCCGAUGGCCACAACAGGAGAUCUGCCGAUGACUCUGAAGGAAAGCGUGGAGAUUGCCGAUUGAUCUGUGGCGGUGCCCCGGUCGGUUACAAGGGGGUAGUUUUAUGUUUUCCUUAGUUACUAGAAUUCGUUUUGUGUACGGGUUCCGUUUAGUUUGGAAUUUGAGUCCUAGUCGUGUCUGGUUGUAGCUCUUUGGACAGGGUAUAAAUAUAGACCCGAGGGCAAUGUAAUGGGACAAUCUAUCAAUCAAUCAAACACAAGUUUUUACUCAUAUUCCAGCAUCUACUUUUUCAAUGACUUCGUCAUAUUUUAUUUUUACUACGAGUUCUUAGGGAUUCGUCGACUUAAGCUCGGCGUGUUCUCAAGUUCCGCGUGAUCACCUCUUGGCCGUGACAUCCGGGCGCAUCGCUGUUGUUGGGAUCAAAGUGGUCGAGUUACCACCUUUGUCGAUUGUAAGGUCAAAUCGGCUGGCACGCCUUAACGUUUGAAUCGGGUAUUAGCCCUUUGUGUUUGCAGAUUAGUUUUGCAUCAACACAUCUUUUGGCAUGCCCAGUGGGACAGAUUCAAGAUCAAGAUCGACAUGGCGAAUACCGAGUUCGAUCUGGAGAACGUCAUCCCUAUGACGGAAGCCAAUCUCAGAGAUGAGCAAAAGCAAGCUAUUGCAAAAGCUAUGGAGGACUACAAGCAGCAAUGUUUCAAAUCCUUCAGCAUCAAUAGGAGUGGCGAGGUGAUCUAGAAGGAAGCAUUGCCGGCACCUCGGCAGAUUACUUUUGAAGCCAAUCCUGGUAAACUUCAAGACAUGGUUGACAAUGCUAUUAACCGUGCCUUGAUUAAUCAAGCUGGUGUGCUAUCCAACACGGUUUUCAAUGUCGUGGCUAGAACUUUUAAGGAAGGACAAUUGCCAGCAAAUUAUGUGGGCCCUGCCUAUCAUCAGCCAGGAUCACCAAUGGACACAGCUCCAUCGGCUACUACGGCCGCUGCGGGUAUAAAAACUACUGCCUCUCCAAGCACAUUAGGACUCACUAAUGUGCAAUCUACGCCGAUGACAACCAAUCCAUCAACGUUGGAUGAGAAAAUCAAGCUUGCCUCAGAUCUAUUGGCAUCGACAAUGUCAGGAUCGGUUCCUCCUAAUUGGUGGGGUUACGGGAUGCCCCCUGAGAUGAUGUUGAAGACUCCUGGAACAUCUCCAGUGGCUGACUUGACAGGCAAGGCUCCUAUGGCAUCGGCACCUCCAAAUCUGCCGAUGAAUCAGAGUCCCCGGUAUACUACAACUACUACUGCAAGACCUUACGCCGGGAAUUCUCAAGCUCCAACGUUCCAGAUGUCUAACGCAUCGGCAGAUUCAAUGCCGACGCAACAGAGGUUUAUGACACAGCCAGGGUAUGUCAAUUCAAUGAUGAUGCCCAAUUACCAGUCAUCGGCAGGGCCUAUGCCGAUGAAUGCUAACAAUGGAUGGACAGGACAACUAGUCUUUCCACAGAUGCCUCAGCAGAAUCAUCAGGCUGUAGGGUUUCAACAAGGACAAAUCCAACCUGGGUUUCAAAAUCAAGGGUUGGUCAAUCAGCCGAUGAAUCUUGGUCAGCAGAUCGGUGGUCAGAUGGUUAACCCAAUGUUCCAUGCAGAUCGUGCACCUCAACGACACGUGGAAGUAUAUCAGCAGGUGCCAGAUCCACAACCGUCCCAUCGGCAAGAUGCCGAUGCUUAUUAGGCCGAUAAGAUAGCUGAAGUAAUGAGAGACCAGUUUGGGAUAAAACCCAAAGUCCAUAUUUACUCUUAUCGGACACCAUAUCCUCCCGCAUACGACCUGAUUCCACUUCCAAAUCAGUAUAAGGUACCAGAUUUCACUAAAUUUUCUGGACAGGAUGAUACAUCGACUAUGGAGCAUGUCAACAGGUUCAUUAUCCAAUGUGGGGAGGCUGCCAACAGAGACGAGUUAAGGGUUCGACUGUUCUCGUCAUCGUUGUCUAGAUGGGCGUUCACUUGGUUUAUUUCGUUACCUCCCAACUCAGUGAUCACUUGGGCUGAUCUAGAAAAGCAGUUCCACAAGUACUUCUUCUCUGGAGUUCAUGAGAAGAAAAUUACCGAUUUAGUCAGGUUGAAGCAGCGCAAUGAUGAAUCGGUUGAAAGCUUUGUGCAGAGGUUGCGGGAAGUCAAGAAUAAAUGUUAUAGCCUGGUUCUAGAUGAUCGGCAGCUUGCCGAUUUGGCUUUUCAGGGGUUGUUGCCACAUAUCAGAGACAAGUAUGCUUCUCAAGAGUUCGAAAGUCUGAGUCACUUGGUGCAAAGGAUUUCUGACCAAGAUAUUAAGCCUUUUGAACCCAAGAGAGCAUGGAACAAAAAGGUAUCAUUUGUCGAUGAAGCGGCAAGCUCAGAUUCUGAUGAGGAGCCAGUCAUCGGUUUAGCAGAAUGGGUGAAAAAUAAAAAGCCGAUGUCUUGGCCUUUUGGGCAUAAGGAGCCUGAGAAAUUUGCAUUUGACAUUACCAAGGCCGAUAGGAUAUUUGACUUUCUACUUCAGGAACGGCAAAUCAAAUUGUCGCCUAAUCAUGUGAUUCCAUCGGCCGAAGAAUUAAAAAAGAUGAAAUACUGCAAGGAGCACAAUGCAACCUCUCACAGCACCAAUGAGUGCAAGGUUUUUAGGCAACAGCUGCAAUCGGCUAUAGAAUCUGGGAGAAUCAAGUUUGAUAGUUCCAAAGCUCAGAAGCCGAUGAAGAUCGAUCAACAUCCUUUCCCAACAAACAUAUUGGAUGCUAAGGGAAAGACCAAGGUCUUGAUGUCAGACGCGGCUGAAAGAAGUGCAUCGGUGGAUCCUCAGCAUCAGAUCACUGCUGCCGAUGCUAAUGGAAAUGGUUUGAUCCAGGAAGGAAAUAGCUCAAGAAGGCCUCCUCGAUCUGGCAUUGUGAUAACUCAUAGAAGGCAUCGGGAGACUUGGUAGAAACGCGAGUAUCGGUAUCGGCGCCAGCAGGAAGAUUAUCGUCAGGAAGAAGAAAGACGCCGACAGGAGUGGAAUCAGCACAAGGAUCAUUGGAACUGCCCAUUCUUUAUCCAUUGCUGGGAACAGAACAUCAAAUUUCCCACUGUUUGGGAUUGCCCUGAAUGCAAUGGUUAUGAUCGGUAUGACAGAUCCAAUCGGCGCUAUCAAGAUAAUGAUCGGCGAUUUGAUGGGCCGAUUAGGGGGAGGACCUCAGUUCAUGAUCGGCUGGGGUGCAGGCUCAGUGUGCAUGAUAGGCUUGGUGAUCGUGUGGCGUAUUUUCCUAGGAACCAGGAAGAACAUGAAGAGAUGGCUAACGCACGGGUUCCCGAUGAGUUCAAAUUUUGUUGGGAUGCUAAUACUUAUCGGGUGGAGUCAAGGGAAAAUCGUCGCCCAUCGGCAAGGCAGCCACAGCUUCCUCCAUGGUGUCCAGAGGGGUUGACUUGGACAUAGAAAUGGCGGCUGCAGCGUGAAAGACGAGAAGAGCUAAACAAAGGCGAAAAUUCUAGCCAGUGUGGAGAACAGCAGCAACCGGAUCCUAAGGGAAAAGGGCCAUCGGCAGAUGUUAACAUGGUAUUUAUGUUGCCGAUGGAGUUCCUUGCGCCAUCCAGUGAUGAUGAGGAGCUGGAUUUUUCUGACCAGAUAGCUCAGUUGGCACUGGAUCCCAUGACGGCUAUCUUUGAAAAGCCUGCCGAUAAUGAAAGGCAGCAUCUUAAAGCUCUGUUCGUCAAAGGAAGAGUUUAUGGGCAGCCGAUGACCAAGAUAUUAAUUGAUGGUGGGGCUGCUAUUAAUAUCAUGCCAUAUGCAGUCUAUCAGAAACUUGGGAAAGGAGAUCAGGAUAUGACCAAGACCUAUAUGAUGCUAAAAGACUUUGAAGGAAAUGUGUCUCCGGUUAAAGGGGCAAUAUGUGUUGAGUUGACCAUCGGCAGCAAAACCUUGCCGACAACAUUCUUCAUGAUCAGUGGAAAAGGUGCCUACAAUCUGCUACUAGGGAGAGACUGGAUCUAUGCCAAUUGUUGCAUCCCAUCAACGAUGCACCAAUGCUUAGUCCAGUGGGUAGGUGACAAGAUUGAAAUUGUCCCGGGAGAUUCUUCUUAUGUCAUCGCUUCGGCGGAAGCAGACACCUAUGAAAGGACUAGGGUAUUUCAGGGGAGACUUGGGAGAAAGAUUUCCUCAAAGUUGUCGAUUAUGAAAUUCCACUAACCCAAGCAGUCAGUUCUGAUGAGGAUUUUUAAUGGAUAUGUUCGCCGAUGAUGGAAAAUUAGGCCAAGGGUUUACAUCGGCCGAUGAUUUAGUAGAGGUAGAUAUAGAUAAUGGAGAUGAGCCUAGACCUACAUUUAUUAGCACUAAGUUAAAUUCUAGGUGUAAGCAACAGUUAACCGAUUUGUAAAAGGAAUAUAAAGAUUGCUUUGCUUGGGAUUAUACUGAGAUGUCUGGUUUAGACCGAUCAAUUGUUGAACAUCGGUUACCUAUCAAGUCUGGAUUUCGACCACAUCAACAGCCAGCUCGUCGAUGUAAUCCUAAUAUUCUUCCUGAUAUUAAGGCCGAAAUAACCAAACUCAUCGAAGCUAAAUUUAUUCGGCAAUGUUGGUAUGCCGAGUGGAUUUCCAAUGUUGUUCCAGUUUACAAGAAGAAUGGGAAGCUUCGAGUUUGCAUUGAUUUCAGGAAUCUCAAUAAAGCUACACCGAUGGAUGGUUACCCAAUGUCUGUUGCCGAUUUACUAGUUGAUGCUGCGGCUGGACAUCGGAUCAUAAGCUUUAUGGAUGGCAAUGCAGGAUAUAAUCAGUUAUUCAUGGCUGAAGAAGAUAUUCCAAAGACUGUGUUUAGGUGUCCUGGUCAUGUUGGAUUGUUCGAGUGGAUAGUCAUGACCUUUGGCUUGAAAAACGCUGGUGCUACCUAUCAGAGGGCUAUGAAUUUUAUCUUUCAUGAGUUCAUUGGCAAGCUAGUGGAAAUUUAUAUUGAUGAUGUGGUGGUUAAGUCUGGAGAUUUCACAAGGCAUCUUGCCGAUCUGCGAAAAGUGUUAGAAUGUACAAGGAAACAUGGUCUAAAGAUGAACCCUAACAAGUGUGCAUUCGGCGUAUCGGCAGGGCAAUUUCUUGGUUUCAUGGUGCAUCAAAGGGGAAUUGAAAUUAGUAGGAGAUCUAUUGAUGCUAUCAAUAAAAUAGUGGCUCCUACCAACAAAACUGAGCUCCAAUCUCUGAUCGGCAAAAUAAACUUCAUCAGGCGUUUUAUCUCUAAUUUGUUUGGUAAAAUUCGUGCUUUUAGUCCUUUACUUAAAUUAAAAGCCGAUCAGGAGUUUAUAUGGGGGAAAGAGCAACAGUUGGCUCUAGAUGAAAUCAAAAAUUAUUUGACAAAUCCUCCAGUCUUAGUUCCACCUCAGCAAGGAAAGCCUUUCAGGUUAUAUUUGUCUACCGAUGGGAUAGUCAUCGGUUCGGCUUUGAUUCAAGAAUUUCAAGGGAAGGAGCGUGUGAUUUACUAUUUAAGUAGAAGAUUGAUUGAUGCCGAGACCAGGUAUUCGGCCAUUAAAAAAUUAUGUUUAUGCCUGUAUUUCUCAUGCAUUAAGUUGAGGCACUAUUUGUUAUCGGCCGAAUGCACUGUUAUAUGCAAAUAUGACGUGGUCCGAUAUAUGCUAUCCAUGCCGAUUAUGAGUGGCAGAAUCGGUAAGUGGAUUUUGGCACUGUCGGAAUUCGAUCUGCGGUACGAAUCGGCUAAGACGGUUAAAGGGCAGAUUAUGGCCGAUUUUGUGACUCAACAUCGCGGUGCAGUGGAGACUUUGGAAAUUGUACCUUGGACGCUCUUCUUUGAUGGAUCCACUUGUGACCGGGGGGCAGGGAUCGGCAUAGUGUUAGUUUCCCCUCAGGGAAGGAAAUAUGAGUUCUCUUUGCCGAUUGUUGCCACGUCAACAAAUAAUCAAGCCGAGUAUCAAGCUUUAAUCAAAGGGUUGGAGUUAUUGAAAGAAGUUCAUGCUGAUGUUGUUGAAAUCUUCGGGGAUUCUAUGCUGGUUAUAAAUCAAUUGGCUGGGAGCUAUGAAUGCCGAAGCGAAGUCCUGAUAACUUCUUACGAAAAGAGUAUGCAACUGUUAAGGGAAUUCAAAGAUUUCCGAUUAGAGCAUGUUCCCAGCAUGCCUCGGGAUAUCAACCAAUACUGAAUACGUUAUCGGCAAUAAAUGCCGAUGAUUGGAGAAAAGAAAUCAUUGAUUAUUUAAAGGAUCCAUCUAAGAAGGUUGAGAGGCGUGUUCGGUUUCAAGCUACCAAGUAUGUGCUCCUCGAGGAUAAAUUAUAUUAUCGAACAAUCGAUGGAGUUCUUCUUAAGUGCUUAAGUGAUGAUGAAGCUAAAAGUUUGAUGGGAGAAAUCCAUGAAAGAGUGUGUGGAGCACAUCAGUCGGCCUUUAAGAUGAAGUGGAUGAUUAGGAGGAACGGGUAUUAUUGGCCUACCAUACUUGAAGAUUGUUUUAAAUAUUUCAAGGGAUGUCAAGGAUGUCAGGAAUUUGGUAAUGUUCAGAGGGCACCCGCAUCGGCCAUGAAUCCUAUUAUUAAACCUUGGCCAUUUCGGGGAUGGGCUAUCGAUCUAAUCGGCCAAAUUUACCCACCAUCAAGCAAGGGCAUAAGUUUAUCUUGGUUGCCACCGAUUAUUUCACCAAGUGGGUUGAAGCUAUUCCUUUGAAGAAAGUCACAUCGGCCAAUAUGAUUGAUUUUGUGAAAGAGCAUAUUAUUUAUCGAUUUGGUAUUCCUCAAACAAUUACUAUCGAUCAGGGUACCAUGUUCACAUCGGGAGAGUUUGAUGAAUUUGCAAUCGGUAUGGGAAUUAAAGUGUUGAAUUCUUCUCCUUAUUAUGCUCAAGCCAAUGGGCAGGCUAAAGCAUCUAACAAAGGAAUUAUUAAGCUUAUCAAGCGGAAGAUUGAAGAAAAUCCUAGGAAGUGGCAUACGUUGUUAAAUGAAGCUUUAUGGUCAUAUCGGAUGACUUGUCAUGGGUCAAUCAAAGUUUCACCUUAUCAGUUGGUGUAUGGACACGAUGCUGUGUUGUCGUGGGAGAUUAAGACCGGAUCUAGACGACUAUCUUUUCAAGAUCAGCUGACUGCCGAUGACUAUGCAGGGCAUCGGUUGAGGGCUUUGAUGAAUAUAGAAGAAAAUAAAAGAGAGUUGCCACAUGGUAUGAUAAAAAGGUAAAGACUAAGGAAUUUGCCAAUGGAGACUUAGUAUGGAAACCAAUCUUACCGAUCGGGACUAAAACUUCAAAAUUUGGGAAGUGGUCUCCCAAUUGGGAGGGUCCCUAUCGGAUAAAUCGAUCUGCUCCUGGUAAUGCCUAUAUUUUAGAAACUCUCGAAGGAGUUGAAUUUCCCAGGGGGUUGAAUGGCAAGUACUUAAAGAAAUAUUAUCCUAGCAUGUGGAUUGAUGCAUGAGAAGUUUAAGUGCCGAUAACAUUCCUAUCGGCUGGAUCAAAGUGUAUCUAGGGCCGGACUCAAUGUUUUAAAAGGGGGCCGAUAACAGUCCUAGCGGCUAGACCAAAAUAAACAGGAGUUUUUAAAAAGAGAAGAACAAGACAUGCCACCGAUGAAGAGUUCACAUGUUUAGCAGAGCCUGGAUUGCCGAUAUGGCGCACAGACGAAUUUGAUCGGCUUCUAUCUCCUUCAUGUCUUCAUCGGGAGAGCCCUCUACUGGCCUCAGCUUCUUCUUCAUUUGCAGUGCCUUGCGAGCUUGAAUGUUUCGCUCUUGUUCGAGAGUCUUGAUCACUUCAGGUAGCUGGCUUUCUUCCUGUUGAGCUUGGGAUAGAGCUUCUUCCACUUGUUUAAGUUCUGCCAACAGGGCAUCUCUUUUCGCCGAUUGUGGCAGAACCCCCUAAGUGUUUGGGCCCACCGGCACCUGUCAUUGUCCUAAGGACCUCUGACGGCGAUGCCGGGGAUCCUCUCACUUUAGAAGUCCGAUGAGCAUCGUUGGAUGCUCAUUCCACUGCUACCUGCGGCGUGCCAAGCCGGCUCGUCCUGACCACUGGUGAUGGUCAAUUAACGAGAACUUCUUCUUCUCGCCCUUACACGAUAGCAAGUGGCCACCUUAACACCAGGAUCAUUCGUUGUGAAGACAUUGCAGAACCACAAACGGCAUACGACCAAAAUAAUAUUUCAGAGUAAAACAGCGGAAGUAUUACAUAACUUAUUUUACAAAAGGAGUUCUUCCAAAUAGCAGAGUGUUAUUACAAACCAGGUCCAGUGGAGCAACUUAAACUUUAGUACCGAGAUUACAAAUUUACAGACCCUGCCCAUGGGUCACGCUCACUCUUCUUCGUCGUCAACCUCGACGACAGUCACACAACAGGGUCCGAAACAAGUCGGCUCCUGAGAAUCACCUGCAACAGGGGGUUGGAAAACCCUGAGUACGGGAGUACUCAACAAGACUUACCCGGUGGAAAAAGAGGAGAACUUAGGAAUGCAGGCUUAGGGUAAACAAGGAGUGGCUGAGCAAGGAGCCAAAGUGUUUUGCUAAAAAGCUUACUAAUAGUGCAUCCUUACUUUCAAGUUUUACCUGUGAAUUCCUCUCCCAUCGAGGCCGAGGAGUUCGAGGACAGUCUACCUAGUUGUUUCCCCACAGACGAGUCUGUGAGUUUCUAGUCCUAAAAUAAAGUAUUAUUUAUUCGAUGGCCAUAGCUUCAUGUCGCUAUGAGUCCGGGAAUUGGGAUCCGAACCUCAUGAGACAUUUCCCCUUUCUCAUUUUACCAAUUAGUUGCAUAAUUAACUACGAUGAGGGGCAGUGGAUUGAGUCUCCCAAUCGGGGAGCAACGACGAUUCGAACCGCUUAGCAAUCCAGCUGGAGUUCCUAACCACCCAACAUAUGUAGAACCAAAACUUGCAUAUGUCAACCCAAAUCAAGCUCUCCCGAAAUUUGACCAGGUUCGCGGCACCUGAGAGCACAGUACUCCACCGUCCUACAGCCGAUCUAGAUGUUUUCCGGUCAUCCCAGAUCCGUAAGGUGGGUACACACUACUCUCGCCAUCUUUCCACUCCCAGUGCGCGAGUAGCUGUUCGCGUCGAGGGAUCACAAGACCGGGCUUACCGAGGGCAAGUGGCUAGUACUAUAAAUUCUCAACCCAGCGGGCCAUCAACGGACCGGUCCUUAACCGACACAGUUGGAGACACUACUUUAAGACUCCAUUCUUAAAGCAAGUCCACCGACCGGUCUCAGAUUAAAACAUCAUUGAUCAUAAAUGUAUUCCACAACAACCCUUCAAACUUUCUUAUUUGAAAACCUAUCUAGUAGCAGGGCUAAGCAUCACUACGCAGUUUUAAAAUGAACAGGUGUCAAGGACAGGAUAACAGAUAUCAAGGUAGUAAAUGCAGCAAGUAGGUUAACCCAAUUAUCAACUAGCUAAUGCAGCAUUUUCAAUUCAUAAGUGAUAAAAGAUUUAAAACAUUCAAGGAGGGGUUAAUGCAUCCGGGGCUUGCCUUGGUUGCAGGGCAGAGAGGGACCCUCGGAGACUUCCCAAGUCUCGGAUCCGACUUCCUCGAACGGAGCACCGACCUCGGGGUUUGGUUCAACGGGCGCUCCUUCGGUCACGGAUACUAUACGCAAAAUGAUGAAUGCUCAUGAUAUGUGUAUGACAAUUAUGCAAGAAGGAUUAAGUCGAGUACAACUUGCCUUCUUGGUGCAAUACAGAAUAAACCACAAAUAAAAUUGUUUUUACCCAAGAGGUUGCGUCUAUAACCUAAGACUUCUUUUAAUCUAUAAUUAUCUUAAAUUAACUAAUAAUUAAUCCUUUUAUCUUAAUUAAGUCUUAAUUAAUUACUAAUGACAGCAAUUAAGCAUUAAGGCCAAACAAUAAUUAAAUGCCAAGGGUCAUUAGGGUUAAUGACCUCAAGUCAUCACAAAAUCCCAAAAUCACUCAAACCCUAAUGAUGAGGAUUUUACUAAUUAUUGUUUAAUUAUUUUGGAAUUAUUACUUAAGUACUAAAUAAGGGUUUAUUAAUAUUUUAAUCAAACAUUAUCCAAAUGCCACCAAAUUUUGUGUGGAGCCAGGGAAUAAUAUUCAGAGGCUCCCCACAAUUUUUGGUGAUUUUUGGACAUCCUAAUAAAUUACUAAAAUUCCUAGAAGUUUUAUUCACUAAUUAAAGAGCCAAUUUUUAUAGACAUGCAAACUACCAGAAAGCAAGAAGCUGGGGAAGAUUACUCAAUUAUAAACAUAUGUGUACACAAAGUACAUGGCUUUGGCUACUCUUUUUCUCCACUAGAGUACACUUCUUAUAUAUCAGUUGUUGUCCUGAAGAGAAGCGUGGAACUCAGGGAAAUUCUCCAUCAGGUAAUCUUCAGAUUCCCACGUGGCUUCUUCUUCAGAGUGCUGGCUCCACUGUAUCUUGUACCACUUGGUAGUUGUUCUUCGAGUAACUCUAUUUCUUUGAUCCAGUACUUGGAUAGGAUAUUCCGAAUAAGUUAGAUCUGGUUCAAGUUCUACAUCUUCAAUAUCUUGAACUUGGUCUGGUACCCGAAGACACUUCUUCAGUUGAGACACAUGGAACACAUUAUGUACCCCGGAUAAUCGUUCGGGCAGUUUAAGGCGGUAAGCUACCUAUCCACAUCGGUCAAUAAUUGGAAAUGGACCAAUGUAACGGGGCGCUAACUUGCCUUUAACACCAAAACGAUUUACUCCUCUCAUUGGGGAUACUUUCAAAUACACAUGAUCACCUUUGGUGAACUUUAACGGUCGACGCCUUUUAUCGGCAUAACUCUUCUGUCGGGACUGAGCAACCUUCAAGUUAUUUUGGAUUUGUCGUACUUUGUUCUCAGUCUCUUUCACUAAGUCAACCCCGAAGAACCAUCUUUCUCCGGGUUCCGACCAGUGUAGCGGAGUUCGACAUCGACGUCCAUAUAGUGCCUCAAAGGGAGCCAUCUUGAUGCUCUCUUGGUAGCUAUUGUUGUAAGAAAACUCUGCCAGAGGCAAACAGUCAUCCCACUUAUCUGGAAAAUUCAGGGCACAAGUUCUUAAUAGAUCUUCUAGAGUUUGAUUCACCCUUUCAGUCUGCCCACCUGUUUGAGGGUGGUAGGCUGUGCUGUACAAAAGUUUAGUGCCCAAGGACUCGUGUAAACAUUUCCAGAAUUGGGAGACAAAUUGUGUGCCUCGAUCCGACACUAUUGUCUUUGGCACCCCAUGCAGACUUAGGAUACGAUCAAAAUAGACCUGAGCAUAGGUGGAAGUAUGAUACGAUUUCUUUACAGGUAAAAAGUGUGCUGUUUUGGUGAGACGAUCUACGAUGACCCAAAUUGAAUCAAAGCCUUUGGCUGUCUUGGGCAACCCCACUAUGAAAUCCAUACUAAUAUCAUCCCAUUUCCAUGCGGGGAUAGGCAAAGGUUGCAACUCCCCAGCGGACUUGAGAUGAAUAGCUUUGACCUUUCGACAGGUGUCACAUUGGGCCACAUAGCGAGCUAUCUCUAUCUUCAUUUUUGUCCACCAAAACCUUUGCUUUAAGUCCUGAUACAUCUUAUUGCUUCCCGGAUGAAUAGAAUACCUCGUGGUAUGAGCUUCCUCCAGGAUUCGUUGACGUAGCUCAGGUACCUUUGGAACCACUAACCGGUUCUUGAACCAGAUUACUCCCGCAUCAUCCACCUUAAAGUCUGUGGGUGCUCUAUUAGAAAUCUUCUCUUUAAGAUGUUUCAUGCCUUUGUCUACUUUUUGUGCCUCUAUGAUUUGAGCUUCGAGAUUGAAAUCAAUCUUUAGAUUGGCAAGGCUUCCCUGGGAAAUCAUUUCUAUCCCCAAGUUCUCUAGCUCUUGGCACAAAGUUAUAUCCCUAGGCGUCACUGUUAAGCAAUUACAGUGAGCCUUACGACUGAGGGCAUCAGCUACUACAUUUGCCUUACCAGGGUGAUAAUGCACCUCAAGGUCGUAAUCUUUAAUUAAUUCUAGCCACCUUCGCUGGCGUAUAUUAAGCUCAGCUUGAGUAAAGAUAUACUUCAAGCUUUUGUGAUCGGUGUAUAGAUGACAUGUGUUCCCCAACAGAUAAUGACGCCAGAUCUUUAAUGCAUGUACCACGGCGGCUAGUUCUAGAUCAUGGGUCGGGUAAUUCUCUUCAUGUGGUUUGAGCUGUCUGGAAGCAUAGGCAAUUACACGACCCUCCUGCAUUAGCACGCAGCCUAUCCCUAUCCCUGAUGCGUCACAAUACACAUCAAAGGGUUUUUCAAUGUCUGGCUGGGCUAAGACAGGUGCAGUUGUCAAUAAUCUUUUCAGAGUCUGAAAGGCUUGCUCACAUUGAGGUGACCAAACAAAUUUUGUUUGAUUUUUGAGCAAGGUCGUGAUUGGUUUGGCGACUCUUGAAAAGUCCAGGAUAAAACGACGGUAAUAUCCCGCCAUACCCAGAAAACUACGGACCUCAUGUACCGUAGUCGGGGGUUUCCAAUUCAACACAUCUUCUACCCUGCCUGGGUCUACAGCGACUCCCUCCACUGAUAACACGUGACCCAGGAAAUGGACUUUGUCCAGCCAGAACUCACAUUUGCUGAACUUGGCAUAUAGUUGAUGCUCCCUAAGACGGGUUAGCACGAUUCGCAAAUGUUCAGCAUGUCCUUUCUUAGUCUUGGAAUAGAUUAAGAUGUCAUCAAUAAAGACGACCACAAAUUUGUCUAGUUCUGGCAUGAAGACAGAGUUCAUCAGGUACAUGAAAUGGGCCGGUGCGUUGGUCAACCCAAAGGACAUCACCAAGUAUUCAUACAGCCCGUAACGGGUUGUAAAAGCUGUCUUGGGCACAUCCUCCGGCCUAAUUUUAAUUUGGUGGUACCCUGAUCUCAAAUCAAUUUUUGAGAACACUUUAGCCCCGGCCAACUGGUCGAAUAGUAAGUCAAUACGGGGCAAUGGGUACUUGUUCUUAAUCGUCACCUCAUUUAGGGGACGAUAGUCGACACACAGCCUUAAUGUUUGAUCUUUCUUUUUCACAAACAAGGCUGGGCAACCCCAUGGAGAAGAACUGGGCUGAAUAAAACCUUUAUGCAACAGCUCUUGUAAUUGGGUUUUUAAUUCGGCCAGCUCUUUCGGUGCCAUUCUGUAGGCCCUUCGAGAUAUUGGGGUUGUCCCUGGUUUCAAUUCUAUACUGAAUUGUACAUCCCGGUCCGGAGGCAGACCUGGUAGGUCUUCAGGAAAUACAUCCGGAAAAUCUCGAACUACCGGGAUUUAUUUAACUGCCGACACAUUAGUGGCAUGAACUUGCCCAAUUGUCCGCUUGGGAGUGGCUAACUGGAUUAGGAGAUAAGAUUUCUCACUGGGCAAUGGGAUUUUAAUGGUUCGAUGCAAAGUAUCUAGCACAACCCCUCGUUGUGCCAUCCAGUUCAUGCCUAGUAUGACAUCAAUCUCCUGGUCUUUAAGAACAAUCAUACUAGUGGGAAAAUUAUGCCCACCAAAUUCGAUGGGUAUCUGGUGAACCAUUUCUUUAGAACUCAGUCGUCCUCCUGGCGACUGUAUAUAAAAAUGAUCUUGUGUUUCCCCAAUGGUAUGCCAUGCUUUAACACAAAGGUGCGAUUGAUGAAUGGAUGAGAUGCACCAGAAUCGAAAAGCAUUAAAGCAGGAUGUUUCGCGACAGGAAACGUACCCAUCAUUACUGGUUCACCCUCCGGGAUCGUCUCCACCUCCGUAUGGAAGACUUGUCCCACUUUCUUCGCUGGUUUUCCACUUUGCACAGGUUGUCCUUUCUGAAUCCCAGUCCUGAAUUGACCCGGCUGGGGUUGACCCAUAGGUGGCCUUUGGAAGGUAGGGUUGGUUUGGCGGGGGAAAGGGCACUCUUUAGAGAAAUGCCCAGGCUUACCACAAUUGAAACAAGGGUAAUUGUGGCUGGGCGGAGCAGUGGGGCGAACACCUGGGGCGUUCGGCUGGCGUGGUGCAAGAGCGAUGGCAGUAGGUCGAGGGUAUACCUGCUGCCCUGGUCUAUACUGUGGAGGGGAGAAAGGACCACGAUAAGGUGACGGCGCUUGGAAACGUCCGUGGCCCUGCGGAUGAUAAAUGAUUCUCUGGCGCUUUUGGCCGCGACCAGAGAAGGAGGAAAAAGCAGCCUUCUUCUUGGCUUCUUUAUGCUUUCUAUUCUUUUCCUCGGAGGCGAUGGCAAUAUUUACCGCCUCAUAGAAGGUAGCAUUUUGGCAGGUGGUCAUCAUGGUCUGAAGUUUAGUAUUUAGACCACGCAUGAAGCAAGCUUUCUUUUUUCUGUCAGUGUUCACAUGGUCUGUGUCAUAUUGAGAGAGAUGAUUAAACUUUGCCACGUAUUCCAUGACACUUUUGUCGCCCUGCUGCAAGGCGAGAAACUCUUCGGCCUUCAUGGCCAUGAGCCCUUCAGGAAUAUAAUGGGCGCGGAACGCGUCCUUGAACUCGGUCCAGGUGACCUGGUGUCCCGGAGCUUGGAUAGCUAGGAAGUUCUCCCACCAGGCACCUGCAGCUCCCCGAAGCUGCUGAGCUGCAAACAGGGGCUUCUGAGUUUCUGAACACUGAAUCAAACUGAACUUGUGCUCCAUGGUCCGGAGCCAGUCAUCCGCUUCUAAAGGCUCAUCGGCCUUAGUGAAAACCGGGGGCCUUGUCUCGGUAAAGUCCACGUACCGAGCUUCUCCGUCCCCAUUGUGUUGUGCCCUGAAGUUUGGGGCAGGGUGUGGUUGACGUUGUGCUAGCUCGCGCAGUAAGCGAGCGUUGUCGGUAGUGGCAUUCAACAAAACAGCAAUGGCCUCGGCCAGAGAAGGUGGACCAGGUGGAGGGUUGGGGAUAUCAUCCCCUCCCUGAGAUGUCCCAGCUCCAUCAGAUCCGCGUGUACGCAUCGGCAUCUGCUACAAGAAUCAUAGGUACUUGUCAUCACAUGAACUUCAUAACGUAGAACAUAUCUUACAUUCUUCCAUUUAUUCAUUAAACAUUAAUUCAACACACCAGGAACAAACAAGUACAACUUCUCAAACCAAAAGAAAACUUAUAUUACAAACCCGACCCCACUACGGCAAGCUAGGACUCCUACAACGACGUUGCCCGCGGUUCCACCGAACUAAUCGGUGUGGCCAGAGCUGUAGCCCGGGUCGUCAUUGCCAUCAUCCUGAUUACCCCCUGGGUUGUUGUCAUCAGGGUCGGACUCCUCUUCAUCACUGAGGCCUGGAUCGGGUUCCCCAUCGUCUGCCAACUCGCCAUCCGUAUCCAUCUCUCCUUCGCCUGGAGGUGGGUGGAGCUGAUGAUACAGGUCAAAUGCAAUAUCACGAUAUUGCAUUGCCAAGUCAUUGACGGUAUCUAAGUGAUGUGCCAGCUCCAGCUUCUCUAACUGGAGCUGGUCCUCACGCUGCCACGCGACAUCCCGCUGCGCGGUGACCGUGGUCGCCAUCUUCACGUACAAAUCCUUAAGAUACCUGGCCUUGCCCAGCUUCGCAUUCAUCCUAGUCAGCUCAUGCCUGUGUGUGCUCCUAGCUUCUUCCUCUCGGGCAAUGGCGGCAUUCCUCUCCUCCACCAUACGGGACAACACGGCCUCAUAGUUCUCCGUAGCUUGUUUUUCUUUGGCUAGUUGAGUUUUGAGUUUGCCGAUCUCCAUAACAUUGUACAUUCUUUCUCUCAUCACCUCAGUCAACUCGGCGGACAACCUGUCCACCUCCAGCUGAGGCGGUGAACGGCUACUACUGGCUUGAUCGCUGCGCGGAGCCAGCUGAUGUCGGGGAACUCCUUUUGGACCUGUCCUCUUACGCGGGGUCUGCUUCUGACGAGCCAUCCUGUGGAGGGUAAGUUUAGAUUAGUAAGAGAGACCUUAAAGGUUAGCAAGAAUGGGAUUGAUUCUAUUCACCCAACCCAACAAGUAGGAAGGAACUUAACCAGUUAAUACAUCAUGAUGCAUGCACGAACUUACGAUUCCUACCAACGAUUUGCAACGAUAUUACUUUAAAUUUUUACAACAUAGGGCAAUACUCUAUGUUGCUCCUCCAAACCACUUCAAAAAAUUCUAAGGAAGCCUAUAGAUAGGGUAAGUAAGGACUAAGCACUUGGACUCAAAGUAGACCAGUUUAUAGUAUUGGAUCCAAAGGAAUUUUGAAGUCUUUCAAGAGGUUCAGCAGUCAUCUUAGCAACGAAUGCUCUGAUACCAGCUGUGGCAGAACCCCCUAAGUGUUUGGGCCCACCGGCACCUGUCAUUGUCCUAAGGACCUCUGACGGCGAUGCUGGGGAUCCUCCCACUUUAGAAGUCCGAUGAGCAUCGCUGGAUGCUCAUUCCACUGCUACCUGUGGCGUGCCAAGCCGGCUCGUCCUGACCACUGGUGAUGGUCAAUUAACGAGAACUUCUUCUUCUCGCCCUUACAGGAUAGCAAGUGGCCACCUUAACACCAGGAUCAUUCGUUGCGAAGACAUUGCAGAACCACAAACGGCAUACGACCAAAUAAUAUUUCAGAGUAAAACAGCGGAAGUAUUACAUAACUUAUUUUACAAAAGGAGUUCUUCCAAAUAGUAGAGUGUUAUUACAAACCAGGUCCAGCGGAGCAACUUAAACUUUAGUACCGAGAUUACAAAUUUACAGACCCUGCCCAUGGGUCACGCUCACUCUUCUUCGUCGUCAACCUCGACGACAGUCACACAACACGGUCCGAAACAAGUCGGCUCCUGAGAAUCACCUGCAACAGGGGGUUGGAAAACCCUGAGUACGGGAGUACUCAACAAGACUUACCCGGUGGAAAAAGAGGAGAACUUAGGAAUGCAGGCUUAGGGUAAACAAGGAGUGGCUGAGCAAGGAGCCAAAGUGUUUUGCUAAAAAGCUUACUAAUAGUGCAUCCUUACUUUCAAGUUUUACCUGCGAAUUCCUCUCCCGUCGAGGCCGAGGAGUUCGAGGACAGUCUACCUUGUUGUUUCCCCACAGACGAGUCUGUGAGUUUCUAGUCCUAAAAUAAAGUAUUAUUUAUUCGAUGGCCAUAGCUUCAUGUCGCUAUGAGUCCGGGAAUUGGGAUCCGAACCUCAUGAGACAUUUCCCCUUUCUCAUUUUACCAAUUAGUUGCAUAAUUAACUACGAUGAGGGGCAGUGGAUUGAGUCUCCCAAUUGGGGAGCAACGACGAUUCGAACCGCUUAGCAAUCCAGCUGGAGUUCCUAACCACCCGACAUAUGUAGAACCAAAACUUGCAUAUGUCAACCCAAAUCAAGCUCUCCCCAAAUUUGACCAGGUUCGCGGCACCCGAGAGCACAGUACUCCACCGUCCUACAGCCGAUCUAGAUGUUUUCUGGUCAUCCCAGAUCCGAAAGGUGGGUACACACUACUCUCGCCAUCUUUCCACUCCCAGUGCACGAGUAGCUGUUCGCGUCGAGGGAUCACAGGACCGGGCUUACCGAGGGCAAGUGGCUAGUACUAUAAAUUCUCAACCCAGCGGGCCAUCAACGGACCAGUCCUUAACCGACACAGUUGGAGACACUACUUUAAGGCUCCAUUCUUAAAGCAAGUCCACCGACCGGUCUCAGAUUAAAACAUCAUUGAUCAUAAAUGUAUUCCACAACAACCCUUCAAACUUUCUUAUUUGAAAACCUAUCUAGUAGCAGGGCUAAGCAUCACUACGCAGUUUUAAAAUGAACAGGUGUCAAGGACAGGAUAACAGAUAUCAAGGUAGUAAAUGCAGCAAGUAGGUUAACCCAAUUAUCAACUAACUAAUGCAGCAUUUUCAAUUCAUAAGUGAUAAAAGAUUUAAAACAUUCAAGGAGGGGUUAAUGCAUCCGGGGCUUGCCUUGGUUGCAGGGCAGAGAGGGACCCUCGGAGACUUCCCAAGUCUCGGAUCCGACUUCCUCGAACGGAGCACCGACCUCGGGGUUUGGUUCAACGGGCGCUCCUUCGGUCACGGAUACUAUACGCAAAAUGAUGAAUGCUCAUGAUAUGCGUAUGACAAUUAUGCAAGAAGGAUUAAGUCGAGUACAACUUGCCUUCUUGGUGCAAUACAGAAUAAACCACAAAUAAAAUUGUUUUUACCCAAGAGGUUGCAUCUAUAACCUAAGACUUCUUUUAAUUUGUAAUUAUCUUAAAUUAACUAAUAAUUAAUCCUUUUAUCUUAAUUAAUUCUUAAUUAAUUACUAAUGACAGCAAUUAAGCAUUAAGGCCAAACAAUAAUUAAAUGCCAAGGGUCAUUAGGGUUAAUGACCUCAGGUCAUCACAAAAUCCCAAAAUCACUCAAACCCUAAUGAUGAGGAUUUUACUAAUUAUUGUUUAAUUAUUUUGGAAUUAUUACUUAAGUACUAAAUAAGGGUUUAUUAAUAUUUUAACCAAACAUUAUGCAAAUGCCACCAAAUUUUGUGUGGAGCGAGGGAAUAAUAUUCAGAGGCUCCCCACAAUUUUUGGUGAUUUUUGGACAUGCUAAUAAAUUACUAAAAUUCCUAGAAGUUUUAUUCACUAAUUAAAGAGCCAAUUUUUAUAGACAUGCAAACUACCAGAAAAACAAUACCUAGUAUUUUUCUUAUGCUCUAAACAUUUUAUGGAAGCUAUACAAAAAUUCUCAUGAUUUUUGGAUCAGCACAGAAUUUACUAUUUGAAAUCAAACAUCAAACACUUUUAAACAAAAAGGAAAAAGAAAAAGGGCACUGUGCGCUGGGGCCUGCUUGGACGCGGCCCACUCUGGCCCGAGCGCUCGGUCCGAGCGGAUGGCGCGCGCUGCCCCCUCCCCUCACGCGGACACUGACGGGCGGGUCCCGCCCGUCAGUUCCGUCUUCUUCCUCGCGCCGCACUGCUCCGGCGAUCGCCCAGCGCCGAUGAGCCCUCCCCAGCGCUAACCAAUUGCUCCACUAGGUUCGCCGCGACCCCCUGAGCGGCCUAGCAUGCUCAACAUGGUCACGAGGAGCUCCUGAGCCACCCGGCCAUGGCUCCGGCGGCCGGAAGCAGCUCGGUGCAGAACCUCGAGCAUCCAGAGCUGGUAGAGAGCGAGGGAAAGGGCGUAGGAGUACCAAGAGCUCACCGCGACUUCGGCAAGGUAGCAAGCGAUGGCUGAGGAGCCCUGAGAUGAGCUGGCCGCUGUGAAGUGCUUGGCGGUGGUGCUCCGGCCGGCGUCGAAGGAGAAUGGCUCGGUUGUGGCUUAUGGGAGACUAGAGCUCGCGCUAGGGAGUGCAAUCGGUGGCGGAGCUCAAGGCGGAGCUGCUGGCGUGCUCAAUUGACUUGGAACGGCAACGGGGAAGACGAAUUUUGGCGGCGGGUGGUGGUGGUCGGCGGUGAGGUUCAAAGAGAGGUAAAGAAAACUCCGGCCGUCCGAGGCUUUAUCCAUGCGGCGGAACAGGGGUUGUGGAUGAGGCCGUCCGCGCGAAGCACAGCAGCAAGCAGCUGUGUGGCCAGCUGCGUGGCGUUGCGCGCGGAGGCGGCUCUGCCGCGGCGGCAGAGCACCCCCCCUACCGAACACUGUAGCAGGCCACAUCCACUCAGUUUGUCUUUUUGCGAAAUCCGACCAAAACUUGAACUAAAGUCAAAUUUCCACCAAAACAAAAGUUGUGCCAAAUUUUGUAAGCUACAAAUCAUCUUUUGGUGACCAGAGCUGAUUCCGAGUGGAAAGUAGCCAAUUUGGCCAAACAGUUUUGAAAUUCGACUCAAAUCAAUGAAAUUCAAAUUUUUGAAUUGGGGACAAAACAGGAUUUCCAAAAUUACUUUUGAUUUUGCAUAACAACUUGAAACACUCCCAACAUGAAAGUUGCUCAACUUUUUGUGCUCUACAACUUUCAUGUUGACCACUUUUAAAAAUUCCAAAUGUAUUUUGAAUUGGAGGUUUAAUUUGGAAAAGGGGACACUUUCUGGAAAUCUGUAUUUUCAAAAUUACUUUGAAUUUUGUAUUGAAACUUCAAAAACUCAAAACACCAAAGUUGUACAUCUUGACAAGAUCUACAACUUUGCUUUUGAACUCAACCUCAAAUUUUGCUUAGUUUUCAAGUUGUGCAAAAGGGGGCAAAUCUAGGGUUCCAAAAAUCAGGGUUCCCCCCCUUAGCUUUUCGGAAAACUUCCACCCUAGGGUUUUAGCAACCACACAAGCAUCAACACACAACAUAAGCACAUUCUACUUCCCUAAGCACAAGGAAUCAAAAUAAACUUGUUUUAAGUUGAUGCAUAAUAAUGUGCUUAACAAACAUGCUUUGCAAUGCAUGUGAUAACAUGAUCCGUUUUUAGUAACCGUAACAUCGGGGAUGUUACAGCCUUUCCCCCUUAAAGAAAUCUCGUCCCUGAGAUUUAAAACCUUAGGGUAAGUAAUGGAAAAGGAAAUUUGUCAAAACUCUGUCAUCUUCAAUUUUCCCAUAAAGCAAGAAGCUGGGGAAGAUUACUCAAUUAUAAACAUAUGUGUACACAAAGUACAUGGCUUUGGCUACUCUUUUUCUCCACUAGAGUACACUUCUUAUAUAUCAGUUGUUGUCCUGAAGAGAAGCGUGGAACUCAGGGAAAUUCUCCAUUAGGUAAUCUUCAGAUUCCCACGUGGCUUCUUCUUCAGAGUGCUGGCUCCACUGUAUCUUGUACCACUUGGUAGUUGUUCUUCGAGUAACUCUAUUUCUUUGACCCAGUACUUGGAUAGGAUAUUCUGAAUAAGUUAGAUCUGGUUCAAGUUCUACAUCUUCGAUAUCUUGAACUUGGUCUGGUACCUGAAGACACUUCUUCAGUUGAUACACAUGGAACACAUUAUGUACCCCGGAUAAUCGUUCGGGCAGUUUAAGGCGGUAAGCUACCUGUCCACAUCGGUCAAUAAUUGGAAAUGGACAAAUGUAACGGGGCGCUAACUUGCCUUUAACACCAAAAUGAUUUACUCCUUUCCUUGGGGAUACUUUCAAAUACACAUGAUCACCUUUGGCGAACUUUAACGGUCGACGCCUUUUAUCGGCAUAACUCUUCUGUCGGGACUGAGCAACCUUCAAGUUAUUUUGGAUUUGUCGUACUUUGUUCUCAGUCUCUUUCACUAAGUCAACCCCGAAGAACCAUCUUUCUCCGGGUUCCGACCAGUGUAGCGGAGUUCGACAUCGACGGCCAUAUAGUGCCUCAAAGGGAGCCAUCUUGAUGCUCUCUUGGUAGCUAUUGUUGUAAGAAAACUCUGCCAGAGGCAAACAGUCAUCCCACUUAUCUGGAAAAUUCAGGGCACAAGAUCUUAAUAGAUCUUCUAGAGUUUGAUUCACCCUUUCAGUCUGCCCACCUGUUUGAGGGUGGUAGGCUGUGCUGUACAAAAGUUUAGUGCCCAAGGACUCGUGUAAACAUUUCCAGAAUUGGGAGACAAAUUGUGUGCCUCGAUCCGACACUAUUGUCUUUGGCACCCCAUGCAGACUUAGGAUACGAUCAAAAUAGACCUGAGCAUAGGUGGAAGUAUGAUAUGAUUUCUUUACAGGUAAAAAGUGUGCUGUUUUGGUGAGACGAUCUACGAUGACCCAAAUUGAAUCAAAGCCUUUGGCUGUCUUGGGCAACCCCACUAUGAAAUCCAUACUAAUAUCAUCCCAUUUCCAUGCGGGGAUAGGCAAAGGUUGCAACUCCCCAGCGGACUUGAGAUGAAUAGCUUUGACCUUUUGACAGGUGUCACAUUGGGCCACAUAGCGAGCUAUCUCUAUCUUCAUUUUUGUCCACCAAAACCUUUGCUUUAAGUCCUGAUACAUCUUAUUGCUUCCCGGAUGAAUAGAAUACCUCGUGGUGUGAGCUUCCUCCAGGAUUCGUUGACGUAGCUCAGGUACCUUUGGAACCACUAACCGGUUCUUGAACCAGAUUACUCCCGCAUCAUCCACCUUAAAGUCUGUGGGUGCUCUAUUAGAAAUCUUCUCUUUAAGAUGUUUCAUGCCUUUGUCUACUUUUUGUGCCUCUAUGAUUUGAGCUUCGAGAUUGAAAUCAAUCUUUAGAUUGGCAAGGCUUCCCUGGGAAAUCAUUUCUAUCCCCAAGUUCUCUAGCUCUUGGCACAAAGUUAUAUCCCUAGGCGUCACUGUUAAGCAAUUACAGUGAGCCUUACGACUGAGGGCAUCAGCUACUACAUUUGCCUUACCAGGGUGAUAAUGCACCUCAAGGUCGUAAUCUUUAAUUAAUUCUAGCCACCUUCGCUGGCGUAUAUUAAGCUCAGCUUGAGUAAAGAUAUACUUCAAGCUUUUGUGAUCGGUGUAUAGAUGACAUGUGUUCCCCAACAGAUAAUGACGCCAGAUCUUUAAUGCAUGUACCACGGCGGCUAGUUCUAGAUCAUGGGUCGGGUAAUUCUCUUCAUGUGGUUUGAGCUGUCUGGAAGCAUAGGCAAUUACACGACCCUCGUGCAUUAGCACGCAGCCUAUCCCUAUCCCUGAUGCGUCACAAUACACAUCAAAGGGUUUUUCAAUGUCUGGCUGGGCUAAGACAGGUGCAGUUGUCAAUAAUCUUUUCAGAGUCUGAAAGGCUUGCUCACAUUGAGGUGACCAAACAAAUUUUGUUUGAUUUUUGAGCAAGGUCGUGAUUGGUUUGGCGACUCUUGAAAAGUCCGGGAUAAAACGACGGUAAUAUCCCGCCAAACCCAGAAAACUACGGACCUCAUGUACCGUAGUCGGGGGUUUCCAAUUCAACACAUCUUCUACCUUGCCUGGGUCUACAGCGACUCCCUCCGCUGAUAACACGUGACCCAGGAAAUGGACUUUGUCCAGCCAGAACUCACAUUUGCUGAACUUGGCAUAUAGUUGAUGCUCCCUAAGACGGGUUAGCACGAUUCGCAAAUGUUCAGCAUGUUCUUUCUUAGUCUUGGAAUAGAUUAAGAUGUCAUCAAUAAAGACGACCACAAAUUUGUCUAGUUCUGGCAUGAAGACAGAGUUCAUCAGGUACAUGAAAUGGGCCGGUGCGUUGGUCAACCCAAAGGACAUCACCAAGUAUUCAUACAGCCCGUAACGGGUUGUAAAAGCUGUCUUGGGCACAUCCUCCGGCCUAAUUUUAAUUUGGUGGUACCCUGAUCUCAAAUCAAUUUUUGAGAACACUUUAGCCCCGGCCAACUAGUCGAAUAGUAAGUCAAUACGGGGCAAUGGGUACUUGUUCUUAAUCGUCACCUCAUUUAGGGGACGAUAGUCGACACACAGCCUUAAUGUUUGAUCUUUCUUUUUCACAAACAAGGCUGGGCAACCCCAUGGAGAAGAACUGGGCUGAAUAAAACCUUUCUGCAACAGCUCUUGUAAUUGGGUUUUUAAUUCGGCCAGCUCUUUCGGUGCCAUUCUGUAGGCCCUUCGAGAUAUUGGGGCUGUCCCUGGUUUCAAUUCUAUACUGAAUUGUACAUCCCGGUCCGGAGGCAGACCUGGUAGGUCUUCAGGAAAUACAUCCGGAAAAUCUCGAACUACCGGGAUUUCUUUAACUGCCGACACAUUAGUGGCAUGAACUUGCCCAAUUGUCCGCUUGGGAGUGGCUAACUGGAUUAGGAGAUAAGAUUUCUCACUGGGCAACGGGAUUUUAAUGGUUCGAUGCAAAGUAUCUAGCACAACCCCUCGUUGUGCCAUCCAGUUCAUGCCUAGUAUGACAUCAAUCUCCUGGUCUUUAAGAACAAUCAUACUAGUGGGAAAAUUAUGCCCACCAAAUUCGAUGGGUAUCUGGUGAACCAUUUCUUUAGAACUCAAUCGUCCUCCUGGCGACUGUAUAUAAAAAUGAUCUUGUGUUUCCCCAAUGGUAUGCCAUGCUUUAACACAAAGGUGCGAUUGAUGAAUGUAUGAGAUGCACCAGAAUCGAAAAGCAUUAAAGCAGGAUGUUUCGUGACAGGAAACGUACCCAUCAUUACUGGUUGACCCUCCGGGAUCGUCUCCACCUCCGUAUGGAAGACUUGUCCCACUUUCUUCGCUGGUUUUCCACUUUGCACAGGUUGUCCUUUCUGAAUCCCAGUCCUGAAUUGACCCGGCUGGGGUUGACCCAUAGGUGGCCUUUGGAAGGUAGGGUUGGUUUGGCGGGGGAAAGGGCACUCUUUAGAGAAAUGCCCAGGCUUACCACAAUUGAAACAAGGGUAAUUGUGGCUGGGCGGAGCAGUGGGGCGAACACCUGGGGCGUUCGGCUGGCGUGGUGCAAGAGCGAUGGCAGUAGGUCGAGGGUAUACCUGCUGCCCUGGUCUAUACUGUGGAGGGGAGAAAGGACCACGAUAAGGUGACGGCGCUUGGAAACGUCCGUGGCCCUGCGGAUGAUAAAUGAUUCUCUGGCGCUUUUGGCCGCGACCAGAGAAGGAGGAAAAAGCAGCCUUCUUCUUGGCUUCUUUAUGCUUUCUAUUCUUUUCCUCGGAGGCGAUGGCAAUAUUUACCGCCUCAUAGAAGGUAGCAUUUUGGCAGGUGGUCAUCAUGGUCUGAAGUUUAGUAUUUAGACCACGCAUGAAGCAAGCUUUCUUUUUUCUGUCAGUGUUCACAUGGUCUGUGUCAUAUUGAGAGAGAUGAUUAAACUUUGCCACGUAUUCCAUGACACUUUUGUCGCCCUGCUGCAAGGCGAGAAACUCUUCGGCCUUCAUGGCCAUGAGCCCUUCAGGAAUAUAAUGGGCGCGGAACGCGUCCUUGAACUCUAUCCAGGUGACCUGGUGUCCCGGAGCUUGGAUAGCUAGGAAGUUCUCCCACCAGGCACCUGCAGCUCCCCGAAGCUGCUGAGCUGCAAACAGGGGCUUCUGAGUUUCUGAACACUGAAUCAAACUGAACUUGUGCUCCAUGGUCCGGAGCCAGUCAUCCGCUUCUAAAGGCUCAUCGGCCUUAGUGAAAACCGGGGGCCUUGUCUCGGUAAAGUCCACGUACCGAGCUUCUCCGUCCCCAUUGUGUUGUGCCCUGAAGUUUGGGGCGGGGUGUGGUUGACGUUGUGCUAGCUCGCGCAGUAAGCGAGCGUUGUCGGUAGUGGCAUUCAACAAAACAGCAAUGGCCUCGGCCAGAGAAGGUGGACCAGGUGGAGGGUUGGGGAUAUCAUCCCCUCCCUGAGAUGUCCCAGCUCCAUCAGAUCCACGUGUACGCAUCGGCAUCUGCUACAAGAAUCAUAGGUACUUGUCAUCACAUGAACUUCAUAACGUAGAACAUAUCUUACAUUCUUCCAUUUAUUCAUUAAACAUUAAUUCAACACACCAAGAACAAACAAGUACAAAUUCUCAAACCAAAAGAAAACUUAUAUUACAAACCCGACCCCACUACGGCAAGCUAGGACUCCUACAACGACGUUGCCCGCGGUUCCAUCGAACUAAUCGGUGUGGCCAGAGCUGUAGCCCGGGUCGUCAUUGCCAUCAUCCUGAUUACCCCCUGGGUUGUUGUCAUCAGGGUCGGACUCCUCUUCAUCACUGAGGCCUGGAUCGGGUUCCCCAUCGUCUGCCAACUCGCCAUCCGUAUCCAUCUCUCCUUCGCCUGGAGGUGGGUGGAGCUGAUGAUACAGGUCAAAUGCAAUAUCACGAUAUUGCAUUGCCAAGUCAUUGACGGUAUCUAAGUGAUGUGCCAGCUCCAGCUUCUCUAACUGGAGCUGGUCCUCACGCUGCCACGCGACAUCCCGCUGCGCGGUGACCGUGGCCGCCAUCUUCACGUACAAAUCCUUAAGAUACCUGGCCUUGCCCAGCUUCGCAUUCAUCCUAGUCAGCUCAUGCCUGUGUGUGCUCCUAGCUUCUUCCUCUCGGGCAAUGGCGGCAUUCCUCUCCUCCACCAUACGGGACAACACGGCCUCACAGUUCUCCGUAGCUUGUUUUUCUUUGGCUAGUUGAGUUUUGAGUUUGCCGAUCUCCAUAACAUUGUACAUUCUUUCUCUCAUCACCUCAGUCAACUCGGCGGACAACCUGUCCACCUCCAGCUGAGGCGGUGAACGGCUACUACUGGCUUGAUCGCUGCGCGGAGCCAGCUGAUGUCGGGGAACUCCUUUUGGACCUGUCCUCUUACGCGGGGUCUGCUUCUGACGAGCCAUCCUGUGGAGGGUAAGUUUAGAUUAGUAAGAGAGACCUUAAAGGUUAGCAAGAAUGGGAUUGAUUCUAUUCACCCAACCCAACAAGUAGGCAGGAACUUAACCAGUUAAUACAUCAUGAUGCAUGCACGAACUUACGAUUCCUUGUUGACACUUCUUAACGCAACCACCGGAUAUCGGCGACGGCGCCAGAAGUGCCCUGGUAGGGUAACUCUAUUUACUAUUGGAUAAUUCCGCAAGCGCACAGAAUGUACCGCUGUAGCACUUCACCAAGGAGUAUUCCAAGGUAUCGUAAUUUAUAUUUUCCCAAGGGAAAGCGGCUAAGUGUGUUUAACAAAAAGGGGAAUGAGAUUCCUUGAGUUGGCUAGUAUCAACUAGUGAAUAAGGGUGGUAAAUAACGAAUAGGAAGGGUAGUGGUGAAUCCAAGGUCCUAUGCUAAAGGUAAAUGGUAGAGUUAGCUAGGUGGGAGGACAACGAGUGAGUAAAGGACUCCUAUGUAUCUAACUUAACGUCUGUGACUUACUUUAAUAGAUAAUUGCCUUAACUACGCUAGAGCCUUACUAACUGUGUGCGAGGGAUAGCCGAGCUGGUAAGACGCUUAGAAGGUUUUUCACCUAACCCCUUACCGAAAGCGACUAUUGGGCUUAUGGACGCCUUACCUUUUAAGAACUAGCCUGUACGUGAGGAGAACCUAAUGCCGCCCACGAUCUGUCACCUACUAGGGAGUGCGCUCCUACUUUCCGUUCAAGCCAGCGGUAAUCAAAGGUAAUCUUAAGUAUGAGCACCACGCUCACACUUAAUCCUACAACUCUAACUAGUUGCAGCUAGCUAGAGCUCCUAUACAAGAUAGGACGAUGAUGCACACACAGGAGUGGUUACAGGUCACUAACUUCACUAAGACAACUAUAUUACUAAAGUAAAUGCACAACAAGACUAAAAGACUUGCACUAAGUAAGAACUCAGUAAAGUAAAGUAAGAAUAAUAUAUUAAUAAAAGGAAAGUCUUACAAAAGUAGAAAGGUACAAGAGCUAUACCAGACUCUCCAGAAGACGACUCCGGAGACCCCGAGCUUCGCUCGACUCGACUCUAACUCCCACUCUAGACUAACUACUACUCUACUUGUAUUCUUGGAACUUGUAAUGCACUUGGCCUUGGAAUUGCACACUUGAAAUGAAGGGUGGAGGCUGCCUUUUAUAGAGGGAGAUGGAGUAGGGGUUACUCCAUCGCCACGUCAUCGAUCCGCGUGACAUCAUCUCUCCACCCUUGGAUCAAACCGACCUCACAACCGCCAUUUGAUCAACGGCAGGGGCAAAUCAACAUGUGGGACAUGUGGGGAAGGUCGGUGGGAGGCCACCGACCCUGGAACCGCCUUUGAUGUGGGGUCGGGCGACCCCACUUCUGGGCCUCUGGGCCCACCAGCAGUGUCCACAGGGGUCCCUUAUGUCGGUGGACUAGGUGGCACACCUGGGUCCCACCAAAGAGGGGUCGGGCGACCCCCUCCCUGUGGGCCCAGGGUGUCACCUGUUGUCCCCUCGAUCUCCUCUUGAUGAUUCUGAUGUUGGCUUUGUCAAAUAAUGUCUUGAAUUUGUUGUUCCUGCAUAAACAAGCUAAGAGUACAAGUGGAACUAGUUAUGGAUAAAAUAUGUUCAUGUCAUGUCAUUUCCCCUUGCAACCGAGGCAUGUUGACGGUGUUUUGUAUGUGGAUUUCUAUGGUAUAUCCACCGUCAACAAGAUCCCCCAAGCUUAACCUUUGCUCGUCCCGAGCAAACAAUCAAACUUAGCCUCGGUGGAUCAGGUAUUGUUACUAUGUUCACAUUUCAAGAGUACCAUGUGUACAACAAAGUUCUUCUCUUUGCAUGAAAAAUUUAGCUAUGUAAACUUACCCCUAUUACCUUAGUCCCUUAUGGGGCUUAUGGCUUUUCCUUUGUCUUAGGUGGUUGAGAGACAGAACAGUUUGACUUGAGCACUAACUUUGUCAUUCUUAGCAAGUUUCAUAUCAGAGGUUUUGUGAUAUUUUCAAAAGAAAGCUUAAAUGUUCCUCUUAUGGUUCUCUCAUGUCACUCAAAUGGUGUAUGAUUCCUCACCAAGGCAUAUGGUAAGAGUUGCCUUCUCUAUUUCAUCCUAUUUCUAAAAGGCUUAUGUGGAGUUCAAGGUAGGGAUGAAAGGAGAUAGCAUACUUACUUUGCAUAUAUUGCGAAGUCAAAGCUCGGAUCCUUGAAGAGAAGUGUCAUACUCCCAGAUCAAGAUGUGCAAGUGUGAUAUAUGGUGGACUAGGUUGCUCCUUUAUUUGAUAGACUCUCUAUGUAUUGAGACAUGGCUAGCUUUUUUUUUAUAUAUAUGAGCUUUCAUGUGCUCAAUUUUCUUUUUCUGUGGACUUGCAUAUGUCCAUCUUUUUAUUUCAUUUUUCCUAGCCUUUUGAUGUCUCAUUUACCAAAUAAUGCUUAGAGAGAUGUUCUAACAUUUAGAGUAUGGAGCAACUUAUUUAGUGGAUGCGAAAUACAUGUGAUUGCGUACUUCCAGUGUAGAAGCAGCAUAUAUAUAUGUGGUGUGUACGUGAUCUUGAUCUUAGGAGCAUGAAAAGUCUCUUAACAAGGGUCAACAAGACUUGACGACACUCAACACAAAGCAAAUAACUUAUGUGGAAAGAUUGCAAUUAUGUAAAGUAGAUAUGGCUGUGGUAGGAAUUCAUCACCAUUGAGGAACAAUUAAGGUUUUGAUCAUUUUAAGAAUAAAUCUCUGAUAAUCAUGCAUGCUUAGAAAAAUAUUAUAGUAGCUCUUGUCUUACUAUCUCAUGUCCCACAACAACUUAGACUUAGUUCUAGCACUUGCAACCCACAAAGUUUUUAGGUUCAUGGCAGUUUAAGUGAGCUAAGUGAUCCAUACUUAGAGAAAUACUAAGUUGUAUACUAGGUACUAGAGAAACAUUAACAAGCAACUAGUCAUCAUUUCCAUGAGGGAUAUAAACAUACAUGAAGCAUAUAUGCUAAAGGGAAAUGCUAAUAAAUAUUUUUUUUUAAGUAAGAAUGAUAAAAUGCAUGAAAAUAAAUAGGAUAGAAUACUUACCUUAGUGGGGGAGAGGAUCUCCCCCAAGCUAGAUCUUCGCUCACUGUGGUGGCGGGAAAUUCUGGUACUAUCCAGCCCAGCGUUGUGCGUCUUCCUCUCGCACACGUCGGAUAUGUUGGCCGUUUUGUAACGCCAGUUGCAAUGUUGCUUCUUGCCCAAUCUGCAAUUCGCCCAUGUCAUUAAUGAGACUGUCCAUACCUGUGGGCUGGUGACGCCUAGCCCUGUCCCUUGGGCGUGGAGUGCGUUGUGGAGGUAGACCCAUGGAGUCUGAAGCAUCCACUGACAUCGCUUCAUCGCCCUCUUCAACGUCAUGGUGCGAGGAUCCUCCUUGCUCCAUCUGGGCGGCUUGCAUCAUCCUUCUUGUCACCCUGCGUGUCCCUGCAACAUCUGGACUUGCCACUCGGGCUAGUCUAAUGGUAAGUGUGCGGACCCCAUACAACCAGCGCCUCGCACAUGGGAGAGGAAUUUCGGUUGUAUAGCCCGGAUAAUUCAUUUUAAGUUCACCAUUUGGAUCUCUUAUGAGCAUGUUAGCAUUGAUAAAGAAGUUCUCAUCUACCACCCCUCUAACAUAGCCAAUGUCUUCAAAAUAAUGUGAUUCAAGUAAUCCAAAAGUAUCGGCUAUUCGAGUAAUAAAGGAUGUGAAAUAGAUGGGCUUCCCAUACUCAAUAGAGUUAAGCCAAUAGUUCACUAGCAGUUUCACAGGGGAGACCUUGAUUUUACUAACCAUGGCAUAGAGAAUUUUAAGUUCAUCAUCAAUUAAAGUAUCAGUUCCCAUGCCAGGAUAUAGAGUGCACAUGAUCCAGAAGUGAAGAAAGCGCAAGGUUGGAUUAUGGAUUUCAAUGGGAGUAGGAUUUGAACAAUCAUUAGAGCCAGAAAUUGCUUUCCAGAAUCUAAAUUUAUCGAACAUUCUAGUGGCAUGAUCUAGAUCAAGUUCACAUUCAUGUUCACACCCUAAAGCAGUGUUUAGCAAACUCCAAUUUAAUUGAUGUUCUUGCUCACACAUGCGAAAAGAUAUUCCAUUAUUUGUGAGUUUUAGGGUGCAUAGAAAUUCCUUAGCAAGCAAUUCUUUUCCAAAUUCAGGCACUUGCCAAAAACUACUCCAACCAAUUGCUCUAAACACCUUAUCGAAUUCAACAUCCAUACCUGUGCGGGCCAAAAGGUCCGGAUCGAUGAUGCUAGUGUGUAGGAAGAGACCCUCUCGGAUGAUGUAGUACCUUUGCAACUCUUCUUGGCUUAACAUGAGGCCGCUCUCGGGCUCUCUCAUCCUUGAUGGAGGCUCGUAGGGUACCAUCCCAUGGUAACCUUCUUCUUCCUCCCUUCCAUGAGCAUGGUGAGAGCCUUGAGAAGAGCUCUCACCCUUUGCUUUCUUGAACUUGCCGAAGAUAUGCUUCUUCAUCCUCCUACACAAGUGAGGCAAACCAAGCUCCUACUACUACUACUAUGCAAGGGGAAUCUUUUUGGGUUUUUGUUUUGAUGACUAUUUCUAAACUAAACUUGAGAAAUGGCUUGUAACAAAGAGAGAAGAGAAAGGAUUGUGAGCUCGAAAUGGUUCUGGUGGUUUUGGGUGUGGAGUUGAGCUCACAAUGCUGUGGUAUUUAUAGGGGAGAAGGGCAAGUAGUGGACCCACAAUAUAGGGGUCGGCCGACCCCCCCUAGAAGCACUUUGAAUUUGAAUUUAGCUUUAUACAGGGAACCAUUCUGCAUGCUUUCAAGAUUUUGCAGAGAUGGUCCAAAAUGGGGGUCGGCAGACCCCCAUCCUAGCCCCUCCUCCACUUUAAACAUUGUGUCAUUGAUUGUCCAGAAAAGUAAAGGCUAGGUGUGGACCAAAAGUUUUCAAAUUGUUUCUGAGAUUCCCUGUUUUAGUGCUUUGUGAAAGGUAAAAGAUGAAUGGCAAAAGUGGAGACAUGUCUAAAGUGAUUCCUAUGGACCAUGGGAGCACUCAAGCAUGCCUAGGUGACCACUUUGCAGAAUUUAAGCUAGUGGAGUGGUCCCAAAAGAAUCAAAGAUGAAAGGAGCAUCUUAUGACUAAAGUAAAGGAUCAAGGGACCACUCUUUUUCAAACUUUAGCUAGUGUUACAAGCAUAGGACUCCAUUGUGAUUCAAAUGGUGGCCAGCAGGAAGCAAGUGGGGCCAAUAUGGGGGUCGGCCGACACCCACAUUGGAGCUCCCAGAGCAUCCAAGUGCUGGGUUGGAACCUCUAUGACUAGCAAGGUUGAAAUGUGGUGAAGUGGGCCCCAAGGUGGGGUCGGGCGACCCCCCUUUGGGAGCUCCAGCAGCUCAAAUUUUUAUGACAAGUUAUUCUCAAGAUUUUAUUUAUUAUGGCUAAACAUUUUGUCGAAAUAAGAUAUGCAAAAUUCAAAGUAAGAAUGCAAUUGAAAAGUGAAUAGUAGAAAUUGAAAUGCAGAAAAUAAAUAUGGGAUAACUACUGAUUUACCUUAUCAGCAAGGGCUCCAUGUUUUAGGUCCGUAGAGCAGGACCUCUCCAUCUUGUUCAUUCUUCGGGUGCAUCAGAUGGUCCCGGAGACGUGGACCUUGAUUGCACCUCUUUCUCCCGCCAUACUUCCUUGGUAUUGAUGUUUGGUUCAGCGGGUUCCUCUUCUUUCUUUUCGGCCCUUUUGGCCGACUUACCUCUCUUGUCCCUUCGGCGUCGGAUGUGGCGAGGCUUAGUCGGAGGUUCUUUGUCCUUCACCUGCAUGUUAGCUUUAUAACCAUUGAAUGGACAUUUUACCUUCCAUCCUGGGAAUUGGAGGUGAAUCUGGCCGGACCCCACAUAGAUGACUGCAUUGACCGUGUUGAGGAAUGGCCUUCCCAAGAUGAUCGAGACAUCAUUAUUGGAUCCCAUAUCCAAAAUGAUGAAGUCGGCAGGGACGUAGUCGUCUUGGACCUUUACCAGUAUGUCCCUUGCCAACCCCUCAGGGAACCUGAUCGUCUGAUCUGCCAUCUGUAAACGAACAAAUGUGGGGUGCAAAGGCCCCCCUAGCAAAUUAUCAUAAGUUACCUUGGCCAUGAUGUUGACACCCGAUCCAAGGUCGCAGAAGGCGUUGUGGAAGAUUUGCGGUCCGAUCUCACAGGUGAUGGUCGGCAGGCCUGGGUCGUCUUUCUUGGUGAUGAAGGGCGAAUCCAGAAGAUAGCUCCAGUUGGAUUGUACCGGAGGCUUACCGAACCUCGUAGUAACUAGUUUAACUCCUUCAAUUGGGUCCUCAGGUUUCCCUGGGAUCUUACCUUGCUCGAAGGAUGGGACAGCUGCUGCUAAUUGAGCUAAUUGUGUUUCUAGCAUUUUGUUAAAGCUCAACUGAUUUUUCAUAGCAGAGUUAAAGCUAUCCAACUUUUCACUUAAGUUUUCAAGGAUCUUAUCAUUAGCCAUCAUUUUCUUGUUAAUGCUAUCAUUGAUUUUAGAUUGGCCUAAGACAAGAUCUCUAAGAGAAGGUUGGUUACCAAAAGAAUUAUUGAAAUUUUGAUUGUAACCAUUACCUUGAUUACCUUGGUAGAAGGGGCGCGAGUUCCAUUGCUGUUGUUGGGGCCGGUACCCAUUGUUGUUGUUGUUGAUGAAGCUCACUUCCUCCUUUGUUUCGGGACAAUUGUUUCCCGAAUGAUCAUCUCCUCCGCACACUUCGCACCAUGAAUCAGAUUCAAUGGCCCGUGCAGUGGCGUAAGGUUGAAUGGUCUCUUGCUUGGAACUUUCUUCCAUCUUCUUCAUUAAGAGGUCCAUCUUAGCAGAGAGCAUGUCCACCUCCUUCAAGGCAUGGACACCUCUUCUCUUGGGUUGGAGGCGUUCCUCAUUCCAUCCUUGGUUUAUAACCAUCUUUUCAAUGAGGUCCUUGGCAUCCUUGACAUUGUGUUGCAAGAAUGCUCCCCCAGCGGCAGCAUCAAGGUGACUACGGGCCAAACCGGUCAGGCCAUGGUAGAAACCUUGGAUUAGGAGCCACUCCUCUAUCCCAUGAUGAGGACAGGCGCGAAUGUACUCCUGCAGACGUUCCCAUGCUUCGGGAAUCGUCUCAUCCGCUUGCUGUUGGAAGCUGGAAAUCUUUCCACGAAGGGCGCUGGUCUUGCCCAUCGGAAAGAACUUCUUGAGAAAUGCAUUGGCGCACCUCUCCCACGUGGUCACUUCACCCUUGUUGGCGUAGAACCAUUGCUUCGCCUUCCCCAAUAACAAGAAUGGGAAGAGGCGAAGACGGAUGGCGUCUGCGGCGACAUUCUUGAUGGUGAAGGUGCCGCACACCUCCAAGAAGUGUUGGAGAUGGGCAUUGGCAUCCUCGUGUGGCUUUCCACAGAAGGGAUUGGCUUGCACCAUAUUGAUAAGCGCAGGCUUCAACUCAAAAGUCGCAUCCCCCAAGUUAAGCUGCGGACCCGUGGCGACAUUGUCAGCCGACGGCGCAGAGUACUCAGAGAUGGUCUUCUGGGCCAUAGCUUCUUUGAUAACCGGUGCAGAUACUCCUUCCUCUAACGGAUUCAGGUUCGAGAUGAACCUUUGAGGUGGAACUUGACGACGUCUAGUUCUCCUCAACAGUUGCUCAGGAUCUUCAACGAAGUUUGACGGCAAUUGGAAACCGCUCAUACACUGUCAGGCUUCACAAUAAAGGAAGACAAGACAAGUGAUGGGUUAUCCCUAUCACUACUUGAUAACUAGCAAACUCUGGAUUCUCUUUUUGUUAAAACUCUUAGACAGACGCGAUCCCCGGCAACGGCGCCAGAAAUGCCUGUUGACACUUCUUAACGCAACCACCGGAUAUCGGCGACGGCGCCAGAAGUGCCCUGGUAGGGUAACUCUAUUUACUAUUGGAUAAUUCCGCAAGCGCACAGAAUGUACCGCUGUAGCACUUCACCAAGGAGUAUUCCAAGGUAUCGUAAUUUAUAUUUUCCCAAGGGAAAGCGGCUAAGUGUGUUUAACAAAAAGGGGAAUGAGAUUCCUUGAGUUGUCUAGUAUCAACUAGUGAAUAAGGGUGGUAAAUAACGAAUAGGAAGGGUAGUGGUGAAUCCAAGGUCCUAUGCUAAAGGUAAAUGGUAGAGUUAGCUAGGUGGGAGGACAACGAGUGAGUAAAGGACUCCUAUGUAUCUAACUUAACGUCUGUGACUUACUUUAAUAGAUAAUUGCCUUAACUACGCUAGAGCCUUACUAACUGUGUGCGAGGGAUAGCCGAGCUGGUAAGACGCUUAGAAGGUUUUUCACCUAACCCCUUACCGAAAGCAACUAUUGGGCUUAUGGACGCCUUACCUUUUAAGAACUAGCCUGUACGUGAGGAGAACCUAAUGCCGCCCACGAUCUGUCACCUACUAGGGAGUGUGCUCCUACUUUCCGUUCAAGCCAGCAGUAAUCAAAGGUAAUCUUAAGUAUGAGCACCACGCUCACACUUAAUCCUACAACUCUAACUAGUUGCAGCUAGCUAGAGCUCCUAUACAAGAUAGGACGAUGAUGCACACACAGGAGUGGUUACAGGUCACUAACUUCACUAAGACAACUAUAUUACUAAAGUAAAUGCACAACAAGACUAAAAGACUUGCACUAAGUAAGAACUCAGUAAAGUAAAGUAAGAAUAAUAUAUUAAUAAAAGGAAAGUCUUACAAAAGUAGAAAGGUACAAGAGCUAUACCAGACUCUCCAGAAGACGACUCCGGAGACCCCGAGCUUCGCUCGACUCGACUCUAACUCCCACUCUAGACUAACUACUACUCUACUUGUAUGCUUGGAACUUGUAAUGCACUUGGCCUUGGAAUUGCACACUUGAAAUGAAGGAUGGAGGCUGCCUUUUAUGGAGGGAGAUGGAGUAGGGGUUACUCCAUCGCCACGUCAUCGAUCCGCGUGACAUCAUCUCUCCACCCUUGGAUCAAACCGACCUCACAACCGCCAUUUGAUCAACGGCAGGGGCAAAUCAACAUGUGGGACAUGUGGGGAAGGUCGGUGGGAGGCCACCGACCCUGGAACCGCCUUUGAUGUGGGGUCGGGCGACCCCACUUCUGGGCCUCUGGGCCCACCAGCAGUGUCCACAGGGGUCCCUUAUGUCGGUGGACUAGGUGGCACACCUGGGUCCCACCAAAGAGGGGUCGGGCGACCCCCUCCCUGUGGGCCCAGGGUGUCACCUGUUGUCCCCUCGAUCUCCUCUUGAUGAUUCUGAUGUUGGCUUUGUCAAAUAAUGUCUUGAAUUUGUUGUUCCUGCAUAAACAAGCUAAGAGUACAAGUGGAACUAGUUAUGGAUAAAAUAUGUUCAUGUCAUGUCAUUUCCCCUUGCAACCGAGGCAUGUUGACGGUGUUUUGUAUGUGGAUUUCUAUGGUAUAUCCACCGUCAACAUUCCUACCAACGAUUCGCAACGAUAUUACUUUAAAUUUUUACAACAUAGGGCAAUACUCUAUGUUGCUCCUCCAAACCACUUCAAAAAAUUCUAAGGAAGCCUAUAGAUAGGGUAAGUUAGGACUAAGCACUUGGACUCAAAGUAGACCAGUUUAUAGUAUUGGAUCCAAAGGAAUUUUGAAGUCUUGCAAGAGGUUCAGCAGUCAUCUUAGCAACGAAUGCUCUGAUACCAGCUGUGGCAGAACCCCCUAAGUGUUUGGGCCCACCGGCACCUGUCAUUGUCCUAAGGACCUCUGACGGCGAUGCCGGGGAUCCUCCCACUUUAGAAGUCCGAUGAGCAUCGCUGGAUGCUCAUUCCACUGCUACCUGUGGCGUGCCAAGCCGGCUCGUCCUGACCACUGGUGAUGGUCAAUUAACGAGAACUUCUUCUUCUCGGCCUUACAGGAUAGCAAGUGGCCACCUUAACACCAGGAUCAUUCGUUGCGAAGACAUUGCAGAACCACAAACGGCAUACGACCAAAAUAAUAUUUCAGAGUAAAACAGCGGAAGUAUUACAUAACUUAUUUUACAAAAGGAGUUCUUCCAAAUAGCAGAGUGUUAUUACAAACCAGGUCCAGCGGAGCAACUUAAACUUUAGUACCGAGAUUACAAAUUUACAGACCCAGCCCAUGGGUCACGCUCACUCUUCUUCGUUGUCAACCUCGACGACAGUCACACAACAGGGUCCGAAACAAGUCGGCUCCUGAGAAUCACCUGCAACAGGGGGUUGGAAAACCCUGAGUACGGGAGUACUCAACAAGACUUACCCGGUGGAAAAAGAGGAGAACUUAGGAAUGCAGGCUUAGGGUAAACAAGGAGUGGCUGAGCAAGGAGCCAAAGUGUUUUGCUAAAAAGCUUACUAAUAGUGCAUCCUUACUUUCAAGUUUUACCUGCGAAUUCCUCUCCCAUCGAGGCCGAGGAGUUCGAGGACAGUCUACCUAGUUGUUUCCCCACAGACGAGUCUGUGAGUUUCUAGUCCUAAAAUAAAGUAUUAUUUAUUCGAUGGCCAUAGCUUCAUGUCGCUAUGAGUCCGGGAAUUGGGAUCCGAACCUCAUGAGACAUUUCCCCUUUCUCAUUUUACCAAUUAGUUGCAUAAUUAACUACGAUGAGGGGCAGUGGAUUGAGUCUCCCAAUCGGGGAGCAACGACGAUUCGAACCGCUUAGCAAUCCAGCUGGAGUUCCUAACCACCCGACAUAUGUAGAACCAAAACUUGCAUAUGUCAACCCAAAUCAAGCUCUCCCGAAAUUUGACCAGGUUCGCGGCACCCGAGAGCACAGUACUCCACCGUCCUACAGCCGAUCUAGAUGUUUUCCGGUCAUCCCAGAUCCGUAAGGUGGGUACACACUACUCUCGCCAUCUUUCCACUCCCAGUGCACGAGUAGCUGUUCGCGUCGAGGGAUCACAAGACCGGGCUUACCGAGGGCAAGUGGCUAGUACUAUAAAUUCUCAACCCAGCGGGCCAUCAACGGACCGGUCCUUAACCGACACAGUUGGAGACACUACUUUAAGACUCCAUUCUUAAAGCAAGUCCACCGACCGGUCUCAGAUUAAAACAUCAUUGAUCAUAAAUGUAUUCCACAACAACCCUUCAAACUUUCUUAUUUGAAAACCUAUCUAGUAGCAGGGCUAAGCAUCACUACGCAGUUUUAAAAUGAACAGGUGUCAAGGACAGGAUAACAGAUAUCAAGGUAGUAAAUGCAGCAAGUAGGUUAACCCAAUUAUCAACUAACUAAUGCAGCAUUUUCAAUUCAUAAGUGAUAAAAGAUUUAAAACAUUCAAGGAGGGGUUAAUGCAUCCGGGGCUUGCCUUGGUUGCAGGGCAGAGAGGGACCCUCGGAGACUUCCGAAGUCUCGGAUCCGACUUCCUCGAACGGAGCACCGACCUCGGUGUUUGGUUCAACGGGCGCUCCUUCGGUCACGGAUACUAUAAGCAAAAUGAUGAAUGCUCAUGAUAUGCGUAUGACAAUUAUGCAAGAAGGAUUAAGUCGAGUACAACUUGCCUUCUUGGUGCAAUACAGAAUAAACCACAAAUAAAAUUGUUUUUACCCAAGAGGUUGCAUCUAUAACCUAAGACUUCUUUUAAUUUGUAAUUAUCUUAAAUUAACUAAUAAUUAAUCCUUUUAUCUUAAUUAAUUCUUAAUUAAUUACUAAUAACAGCAAUUAAGCAUUAAGGCCAAACAAUAAUUAAAUGCCAAGGGUCAUUAGGGUUAAUGACCUCAGGUCAUCACAAAAUCCCAAAAUCACUCAAACCCUAAUGAUGAGGAUUUUACUAAUUAUUGUUUAAUUAUUUUGGAAUUAUUACUUAAGUACUAAAUAAGGGUUUAUUAAUAUUUUAAUCAAACAUUAUCCAAAUGCCACCAAAUUUUGUGUGGAGCCAGGGAAUAAUAUUCAGAGGCUCCCCACAAUUUUUGGUGAUUUUUGGACAUCCUAAUAAAUUACUAAAAUUCCUAGAAGUUUUAUUCACUAAUUAAAGAGCCAAUUUUUAUAGACAUGCAAACUACCAGAAAAACAAUACCUAGUAUUUUUCUUAUGCUCUAAAUAUUUUAUGGAAGCUAUACAAAAAUUCUCAUGAUUUUUGGAUCAGCACAGAAUUUACUAUUUGAAAUCAAACAUCAAACACUUUUAAACAAAAAGGAAAAAGAAAAAGGGCACUGUGCGCUGGGGCCUGCUUGGACGCGGCCCACUCUGGCCCGAGCGCUCGGUCCGAGCGGAUGGCGCGCGCUGCCCCCUCCCCUCACGCGGACACUGACGGGCGGGUCCUGCCCGUCAGUUCCGUCUUCUUCCUCGCGCCGCACUGCUCCGGCGAUCGCCCAGCGCCGAUGAGCCCUCCCCAGCGCUAACCAAUUGCUCCACUAGGUUCGCCGCGACCCCCUGAGCGGCCUAGCGUGCUCAACAUGGUCACGGGGAGCUCCUGAGCCACCCGGCCACGGCUCCGGCGGCCGGAAGCAGCUCGGUGCCGAACCCCGAGCAUCCAGAGCCGGUAGAGAGCGAGGGAAAGGGCGUAGGAGUACCAAGAGCUCACCGCGACUUCGGCAAGGUAGCAAGCGACGGCUGAGGAGCCCUGAGAUGAGCUGGCCGCUGUGAAGUGCUUGGCGGUGGUGCUCCGGCCGGCGUCGAAGGAGAAUGGCUCGGUUGUGGCUUAUGGGAGACUAGAGCUCGCGCUAGGGAGUGCAAUCGGUGGCGGAGCUCAAGGCGGAGCUGCUGGCGUGCUCAAUUGACUUGGAACAGCAACGGGGAAGACGAAUUUUGGCGGCGGGUGGUGGUGGUCGGCGGUGAGGUUCAAAGAGAGGAAAAGAAAACUCCGGCCGUCCGAGGCUUUAUCCAUGCGGCGGAACAGGGGUUGUGGAUGAGGCCGUCCGCGUGAAGCACAGCAGCAAGCAGCUGCAUGGCCAGCUGCGUGGCGUCGCGCGCGGAGGCGGCUCUGCCGCGGCGGCAGAGCACCCCCCCCUGUCGAACACUGUAGCAGGCCACAUCCACUCAGUUUGUCUUUUUGCGAAAUUCGACCAAAACUUGAACUAAAGUCAAAUUUCCACCAAAACAAAAGUUGUGCCAAAUUUUGUAAGCUACAAAUCAUAUUUUGGUGACCAGAGCUGAUUCCGAGUGGAAAGUAGCCAAUUUGGCCAAACAGUUUUGAAAUUCAACUCAAAUCAAUGAAAUUCAAAUUUUUGAAUUGGGGACAAAACAGGAUUUCCAAAAUUACUUUUGAUUUUGCAUAACAACUUGAAAAACUCCCAACAUGAAAGUUGCUCAACUUUUUGUGCUCUACAACUUUCAUGUUGACCACUUUUAAAAAUUCCAAAUGUAUUUUGAAUUCGAGGUUUAAUUUGGAAAAGGGGACACUUUCUGGAAAUCUGUAUUUUCAAAAUUACUUUGAAUUUUGUAUUGAAACUUCAAAAACUCAAAACACCAAAGUUGUACAUCUUGACAAGAUCUACAACUUUGCUUUUGAACUCAACCUCAAAUUUUGCUUAGUUUUCAAGUUGUGCAAAAGGGGGCAAAUCUAGGGUUCCAAAAAUCAGGGUUCCCCCCCUUAGCUUUUCGGAAAACUUCCACCCUAGGGUUUUAGCAACCACACAAGCAUCAACACACAACAUAAGCACAUUCUACUUCCCUAAGCACAAGCAAUCAAAAUAAACUUGUUUUAAGUUGAUGCAUAAUAAUGUGCUUAACAAACAUGCUUUGCAAUGCAUGUGAUGACAUGAUCCGUUUUUAGUAACCGUAACAUCGGGGAUGUUACACCGAUAGGUCAGAAAUCUUUUGCUUCAGCACGUCUCCUGAGGAGUUCAGAAUGCCGAUGCUCUUAUGCUUCUCAUCGGCAAGGUGUUUACCUUCAUCACCUCCUCUGAAAGCUGGGCAUAAGCGGCCCUAUCGGCAAGGCGCUGAGUGGCCUUUUGAUACUGAAGCUGUCGACUCUCUAAGUGUGCGGCCUUGAAGAGGAUCUCCUCAGCAUCGGCAGGGAUCUGGCCUCUGAGAGUUUUGAAUAGAGCCUUGGCUGAAUCAGAAUCAUCAACCAGUUAGGUUGUGUCUUGAUGGAGGAUAGUGUUGGCGGUUCUUAAUGACAUAUUUACCCCGCCAACAUAGUCCAUGCAAAGGAAGAAAAGCAUGUAUUUUACUCACAUAUACUUAUUAAAUGCUUACCAAGUUAUAUCACUUUCAUCAACAACUUAGUCAAUAUGGUUCCUAUAGAUUUUUACCCAUGAGGAUGAACAAUUGUAAGAACUAUACUUUAUGUCACUAUUUCUCUUAAAUCAUGUACCAGUUCACUUUUUAUUUUGCAAACAAGUUUAAACUAUCAAAUUUUAUUUUAAUUGUGACACAAAGGUAAAGAAUUGGACAGACUGAGAGGGGGAAGAAUUAGCAAACCGGGCAGGAAAGAUGUCUUUCGUCGUAUAGAAGCUGCCUGGUGGGCCCAGGGCUCCAUGGAAGGGUCGGCCAACCCCACCUGGAGGUUCCUGGCCCUGCCACUCGAUUCUACGUCCCUCGGGAAGUCUUUCUGCACUUGUGUCGUUUCCUUUUGCCAUAGAAAGGGGGUCGGGCGACCCCCCCCACCACCUGCAGUUUUCGUGCAGCUGAACUUACAACAGAGAGAGAUGAUCAAAUGCAGACGUCCUGCUGGUGGCAACACACCAGCAGGACCAAAAACAACUCUAUUAAAUCAAAUUUCAAUUGUAUAGGCACUUUUACAUUGUGAAAUUCAAAGUGACAAAUUGGAAAAUAAAAUUGAGUAAUCAAACCUAAAUAAUCAAAUAGUGCCUAUAACCUAAACUAACUAAUUUAUUUAGGGAGAUGGAGGUUUGAGGAGAUCCUCCCGCCCAAUUGCUUGUGCCAAACGCUUGAUUUUAGCGCUGGUGCUAAUGCGCAGGUGGCGGAAGUGAUCUUCUAACUCAAGAUUCUCCAUCCUGAGCUCCGACACUGUCUCCUCUAAGAUCCUAUUUUUCUUUCUAAGGCUAGCUGUGACUUCCAGGAGCUUCUCGAUGUCGCCUUUUUCUGGAUCUUCUUCGUAUUUGCCAGGCGCACCGUUGAUCGGAGGUGGAUCCAUCUUCCGCCGGAUGGAUGGACUUGCUGACGAGUCAAAGGACUCUCGCAACUCCAUCUUUUCCUUAGAGUUCAACGGCGGGAUCAGCACCUUCCCCUUUCCUGGCCCACCGCCCACCACUUGGUGGUUCCUCCAAAAGGUUGGGGUGGACGGCGAGUAGGAAGAGGUGUGGAUCGUGUCGGAGGAGAUGGUGAUGGCCUGCUUGGUGGCCAUCGGCGCCUUCUCCCGCAGCGCAAGUUGGCCCGUGGUAGGUCGAACCGGCGUUACGGCUCGAGCAGGGGACUUGCCGAUGCCCCUGCGCGGUGUGAGCGAACGAGAGGCCAACGCGGAGCGCUGGGUCACCCGGGGCGAGGUCGGGCGACCCCUCUUGGGGUCGGGCGACCCCCACAUGGGGCCCGUCGGCCCUCCAGCCGGCGGCACCAUGGCUAGUGGUUCAGGCUCCAGCACGUUGACGGCUAGGGCAAACUCCAGGCUCUCAGUUAGAGACCUUUGCGGACGUGGGGAGUUAGAGCGAAUGGCUUGGUUGGAAGAUUUAGUUGGAGGAGCCAUGGAGAUGGAUCUCUUGGCAAGGAAUGGAGGCUAGGAGAGUCUGGUUCGAGGUGAAGAUGAGAAGGAAUGAAUUGAGAGGAGGAAGAAGAAGAAGAGGGGGGAUAAAUAGAUGUGUUUGGAGCUUGAGAGUUUGAAUUUUGAAAAGGAGCGUCGUGGAACGUUUGAGGGACGAUCCGAGACUCCAGGGGAUUUCAAAACUCAAAAUAUUGGGGGUCGGGCGACCCCUAUAUUUCAGGAUUUUGAAUUUCACCACCGAACUCUAUUCAUUCCCCUCUUUCUAAACCUAUUCCCCCUUGGGCCAAAACCCCUAGAAGAGGGGUCGGCCGACCCCCAUUUGGGGUGUUCGGCAGCCCAACUUCGAUCCUACAUCAUCUAAAACCCUUUUAAAACCUAUUUCCAAACAAAAGGAACUAAAUAUAUUGGUUUAGCAAAAUUUUUUUUUUUAACAAAAGGAGGUAAAAAGAAGGACAUGUGGAUUUUAAGACUUUAUGUCAGAUUCAAAUUCUAUCAUAUCAACUUCUUUUUCUAAAGGUUCAUGUUCAUGGAAAACUUUAAGACGAUGACCAUUUACCUUAAAGAUGUUGCCGUCGUCGUCCCGCAGUGUUACCGCUCCAUGAGUCGCGGCGUCAACAACGAAGAAUGGUCCUUCCCAUUUGCUCCUUAGCUUUCCAUGGCCAAAUAACUUGACCCUUGAGUUGAACAUGAGAACCUUAUCCCCAGGAUGAAAUUCCUUUUGCUUGAUCCUUUUAUCAUGCCAUCUUUUUGUUCUCACUUUGUAGAUCCUGGCAUUGUGAUAGGCUUUAUCUCUCCAUUCUUCUAGUUCGGAGAUUUGGAGCUUUCUAUUUCUUCCGGCCGAGGGCAAAUCCAUGUUCCAUUUCUUGAUUGCCCAGUGAGCUCUAUGCUCUAGCUCUACCGGUAGAUGGCAUGUCUUACCGUAUACAAGUUGGUAUGGUGUCAUACCAAUUGGGGUCUUGUAUGCGGUCCUGUAUGCCCAAAGUGCAUCUGGUAGAUGGCUUUUCCAGCCGGUUCCCAUCUUAGUGACAGUCUUCUGCAGAAUGUUCUUGAUUUGUUUGUUAGAUGUUUCUGCUUGUCCGCUCGUUUGAGGGUGAUAGGGUGUUCCAAUGUUGUGCCUUAUCCCCACUUCAGCUAAGAACCGUCGGAAUCUUCUGUCAAUGAAGUGGCUCCCUCCAUCACUGAUAACUAGUCUGGGGGUGCCGAAGCGUGGAAAUAUGACUUCCUUGAACAUCUUUAUCGAAUGUGUAGAGUCGGCUGCUCUGCAGGGCAUUGCUUCGACCCACUUGGACACAUAGUCUACUGCCACUAGGAUGUACUCACACCCUUGUGACAAAGGGAAUGGCCCCAUGUAGUCUAUGCCCCAAGCAUCGAAUAUCUCGACUUGUAAGUUGUUUGUGAGUGGCAUUGCAUCACGAGUAUUGAUGUUCCCAUGCUUCUGACACCUUGCACAUCUCCUCACGAAGUUCUUUGUAUCUUCGUACAUGGUAGGCCAGCACUCUGCCAUAUCUUGGCAUGGGUCCUGAAUGCUCCAUAGUGGCCUCCGUACUCUGCCCCAUGGCAUUUUUCCAUUAUUUUUACUGCCUCGUCCAUGGGAACACAUCUCCUGAGUAUGCCAUCUUGACAGACUCUGUAGAGGUAAGGAUCGUCCCAUAGGUGCACCCUACUCUCUUUAACAAGCUUCUUCUUGUCUACCCCAGGUGGUAUGUAUCCGGACGCCAGGUAGUUGACUAUGUUUGCAUACCAUGGGUAGGCUUCUGAAACUCGGAGGAGUGUGUCGUCUCGAAGGUAGUCGUUGAUAGGUGGAUCCUGUUUAUCCUCGAUUUGCAUCCUAGACAAGUGAUCGGCUACCGAGUUUUCUACUCCCUUUUUAUCUCUAAUUUCUAAGUCAAAUUCUUGGAUUAGUAGGAUCCAUCUUAUUAAUCUUGGUUUAGCAUCUUUUUUAGUGAGCAAGUAUUUUAGAGCUGCGUGAUCGGAGUAAACAAUCACCUUUGCUCCAACUAAAUAAGAUCUAAACUUGUCUAUAGCAAACACUACAGCCAACAGUUCUUUUUCAGUUGUUGCAUAAUUCAGCUGUGGUCCUGUUAGUGUUUUGCUAGCAUAAGAUAUUGCAUGAUGCUUCUUAUCUUUAGUCUGUCCUAAGACAGCACCUACAGCGUAAUCACUAGCAUCACACAUUAUCUCAAAAGGUAGCGACCAAUCAGGGGGUUGAAUGAUUGGUGCAGAGAUAAGUGCUUUCUUAAGAUAGUAAAAGGAAUCCAAGCACUCAUCAUUAAAAUCAAAGGGUGCAUCCUUAGCUAACAGGUUUGUUAAAGGUCUAGCAAUUUGAGAGAAAUCUUGUAUGAACCUUCUAUAAAAGCCUGCAUGGCCAAGAAAGCUACGGACGCCCCUAACAUUUGUGGGAGGAGGGAGCUGUUCUAUAACUUCAAUUUUAGCUCUAUCUACCUCUAUCCCACGUUCGGACACUCUAUGUCCUAACACUAUCCCUUCUCGAACCAUAAAAUGGCACUUUUCCCAGUUCAAGAUCAAGUGCUUCUCUUGGCACCUUUGUAAGACUCGGUCCAGGUUCUUUAGGCAAUCAUCAAAAGUUUUCCCAUAGACGGAGAAGUCGUCCAUGAAAACUUCCAUGAUUUCCUCGAUCAUAUCGGAGAAGAUGGACAUCAUGCACCUUUGAAAAGAGGCAGGAGCAUUGCAUAGGCCAAAAGACAUGCGCCUAUAUGCAUAUGUUCCGUAGGGGCAUGUGAAUGUAGUCUUACUUUGGUCGUCGGGAUGGAUUGGGAUUUGAUGGUAACCCGAAUACCCAUCAAGGAAGCAGAAGAAAGAGUGUUUGGCUAACCGUUCCAGCAUCUCAUCGAUGAAUGGCAACGGAAAGUGGUCUUUCUUAGUGGCCUUGUUAAGUUUUCGGUAGUCUAUGCACAUUCUCCAUCCUGUGACGGUCCGUUGAGGAAUGAGUUCAUUGUUGUCAUUUUUAACGACCGUCAUUCCUCCUUUCUUAGGAACUACUUGAACGGGGCUGACCCACUCACUGUUCGGAACAGGGUAGAUUAUGCCCGCAUGCAAUAGUUUUAAGACCUCUUUCUUCACAACUUCUCUCAUCGCAUUAUUUAGCCUUCUCUGAGGCUCCCUGGAAGGUAUAGCAUCGGGUUCGAUAGGGAUGCGAUGAGUGCAGAGUGCAGGACUAAUUCCCUUAAGGUCUUCUAACGAGUAUCCUAAGACAGAGCGGCGUUCUUCUAAGACGGUGAUGAGUUUGGUGACUUCUUCUUCUGUCAGUUGAUCACUAAUGAUUACCGGAGUCUCUCUAUCACCAUUAAGGAAGGCGUACUUAAGUCCAGAGGGAAGUGGCUUAAGUUCUAUAGAGGGUUUUGGUGGUGGUUUAGAUUCAUCCAAGUCUAAUGGUUCUUCUAAUUUGUUCUCUUCUUCUUGGAUGAAGUUUUCGGCGUCUUCUUCUAAGUCAGGCUGAGAAGUGUCCAAAAGAGAUGCCGAUAUCACCUCCUCUAUUGGGUCAGGCUCGGGCGGGGUCUCGGCUUUAGAAUUAAUAGAGCCGGCAAAAGGCAUAGAAAGGUCUAAGCCCUUCCCGAGGUUACCCUUGAAACGCCCUUCAUGAAAUCCAUUUAGGAACCUCAUGAUGGGGUGCCCGAUUAACAAGUCAACUUCUUUCAUAUCAAAGAUAAAGAAGUUUAGCAGAAUGUUGACUUUGUUAAUGGAGACAGGAAUAUUCUGUGCAAUCCCACAACUCUCGACCAUUUCCCCAGAGGGUAAUUUAAGAAAUUUGCUGGUCGGGGUUAAUGGUUCCUCGCCUAGGAGUGUCAGUACUAAUGACUUGGACAUUAGGCUUACUCCUACAGCAGGGUCAUAAAGGGAUUCUAUAGGAGUGGAGUUUAUGACACAGGGAAUGGGUGUAAAACUCGAGAGAAGUUUGAUGACAUCAGAUGAUGUCUCAGCUUCUCUAAACCAUUCAUUACUCAUAAUAGCCGUGAGUUCUUGGGCAGUUGCCCUGAGGUAACCAGCCUCAAGAUGAGCUGGGAUAUGGCUAUUCGGAGCUCUGCGUGCUGUAGAUCUCCUUUGCACAGGUUGAUUCGAGACAUUGCCAAAAUCGGCAAAUAGAUCAGUCUCGAUGUUAAGUGGGUAAUCCAAGGGAUGAAUUACUUCUUCCCUUGGAGGUGCUUGUGGUAUUGGUUCAGGUUCGACAGCUUGGGUUGCGGCUAAAGGAGUUUUGGCUGUCGAAGGUUCAUCCCUAGGAGUUCGAUCUUCCUCAGGAGCUUCAAUAUGAUCAUCAGUGUAAGGGGUAUUCUCGAGAAUAGUCCCAAGAAUGGCCUUACCUUCACUGAUAGGUAAAUGAAGGAAUGCUCCCUUAGAGGCUAAAUCAAGGAAUUGUACGGAUUGUUGGCUAAGUCCGAGGUAAAAAUGUUGCAUAAGAAUUGGCUCGGUUAUACCUAAGUCUGGGCCAGAUGAUGUUAAGUCGGUGAGACGUGCCCAGGCCGCACCUAGAGACUCCUUCCCUUCUUGCUUGAAGUCUAGGACUUCUCUACGGAGACGAGCUAUUCUAGAGAUGGGAAAGUAGGUGAGGCAGAAUUUGGCUUGCAGCUUUUCCCAUUCUCCUCCUACACUACCUGCAUAGCGAGUGUACCACCGUCUGGCCUUUCCUGUCAAAGAGAACGGAAAGAGCUUCCACUUGAGGGUAACUCGCCUCAUCCCUUGGAUGUGGAUGCAUGAACAAAGUUGUUCGAAAUCUCGUAGGUGUGUGUAAGGAUUUUCAUCUCCUUCUCCCGAAAAGGGAUUCUCCUGAACCAUCGCUACGAGACUCGGGCGAAGCUCAUAGUGACAGGCCAAAAUGGCUUUUGAUGAACUCGCUGGCUCCAACUCAGCGCCCGUUGGAGCAGCGUAAUCGAAGAGGGUUGUUUGAUCCAUUUGGAUAUGUGUAUAAAGUUUUAAAUCAAACAAAGAUAACUUAACGAUUUUUUUUGUCCUAGUUAAAACAGCUACCGUUCCCCGGCAACGGCGCCAGAAAGCUUGUUGACACCAGAAGUGGCAAACGGUUAUACCGCAAGCGUACGGUAGUCAAUGUAGCCUUCACCGGGAGUAUUCCAGGUAUCGUGAUUUCCACGGGGAACGCGAAGUGAAUUAACUAGGCUUUAGAUCGUUAGGUGAUGAUCAAAGGGUCUAGGAUAAUGGGGUAGAGAGGUCUAACUAGUAUUAAUGCCUGGUCUUUGGUAAUUAAGUAUAGUCAAGGUUUUUCACCUAACUCUUUACUGAGGGCGAUACCCGAAAAGGAGGAUUAAGUUAACGAGGUUUUUCACCUCCCCGUCUCCUAAGCGACUACCCUGCUCAGCCCAACUAUUAUUUGCAACUUGCCUACAACAGAUGCGAGGAGCUUUCCGCCUAGCGAGGACUGUCACUCUCACACUAGGUGUCUACACAACUGCGACAAGGAGUCCACACUGGCAAGAAGUAGUCUAGACACCAUGUCUAAACUAGCUCUUGCUACCCUAAGCUUAGCUAAAGCUAAGAGCACUCAAGAUCAAGCAAUGUGCCAGUAAAGGAUUCUUAUACUUAAAGUACCAGACCAAAUAUUAAAUACUAGAAAAGACUCAGAAGUAAGACUUACAAGAAGACCUGCUUCCGCUGAGGUGCUCCGCGAAGAAGACUCCCGACAGGCCGGGACUCCUCCUUGGAACUCCUCACUCUCUACUCACUAUGAUAGCACUAAGCUACUAAAGUAGUUUACUCCUAAGAUACAUGACAUUUAAGUGAAGGAAUAGGGGGGUAUUUAUAGUGGGAGAUGGAGUAGGGGCUACUCCGGUGCCACGUCAGCGAUCCGCGUCAUCUUCAUCAUGCACCAUUGGAUCAAACCGACUUCACAACCGCCAUCUGAUCAACGGUAGAGGCAAACUAACAUGUGCAACAUGUGGGCAAGGUCGGUGGGAGGCCAACCGACCCUGGAACCGCCAUGAAGUGGGGUCGGCCGACCCCCUAUCUGGCUGGUUGGGCCCACCUGCAGUGUCCUGGAGGCUCUCUGAUGUCGGUGGAGUUGAGCUGACCUGUGGGACCCACCAAAGUGGGGUCGCCCGACCCCAAUUCUAUGGGGUUAGGGUGUCAGCCCUGUCCUACAUGUCUUCCUCUUCAUGACUAUAAUGUUGUCUUGGUUACUGGUGUCACUGAUCUUUAGUUAUUCACCCCUUCUUAGUGUUUUGACCCUUGAAAAGUACCUGUUCUUACUCCUGCAACCAAAUAGUAGCAUGUACAUGUGGAACUAGGUUAUAUGUACCUAUAUUACUACUUUGUUUGGUUGUUUUCUCCGAAAAUGAGUCUUAUGUUGACGGUUAUGAUAGUAGAAAACAUGGUAUAAAUACCGUCAACAAUUACGCAAAAACGAAUCUAACGAAAUUUGAACGGAUCAAAACGGAGUUUAAACGAAGAAUAUAUGAAUUUUCUAAGAUUUUCUUUAGAAAAACAAUUAAUUAAUUUGGGUCACGGAAUUAAAAAGUUUCAAACCAAGAAAACAGUAUUACUAAUAUAUAGAUCUUUCAAAGACGAAACCAACGCAAUUUGAAUGGGUCAAAUUGGAGCUAAAACGAAUAUUUUAUGAGCAAUAUAAAACCAGUGGCAAACUUGUAAUUUUCUGAAAACGUAUUUUGAAUCUGCGCGAACGGGAAUACGCGUUCGGAAUUAGAAAACGUAUUCUGGAAAUCCGCAAGGACUGCGGGUUGACUCUUUAAAAACAUUGGGGUUUAUUUUGCAAAAGACGCGGUCGAAGGGGUAUCUUUUGAUUUGAGCCGUCGGAUCGGGGAUGGACGGCUGGAAUUAGAUUAGAGAGAGGAGGGGGAGGUUGGCCCACCGGAGAUGGGGAAGGUCGCGGCGGCGCCAUGGCCGGAGUUGGCCGGCGUUGCUCAAUCGAGCGACUCAAAGCGCUAGAACGUGAACCAAAAACACCGGGACAUGGAGAAACUUACCGCGAGCUCACCUAGGGCUAAAACAGGGGUCGAGGAGCGGUCGGAGUGCGCUUGCGACGAAGGAAGGCAGACGGUGGCUUUUGCAAAAGAUCGGCGAGGGUCAGCCGUGCACAGAACACGAAAUCGCGAGCAAAGAGUCUCGGCGACUUCGCAAACGAGAAACGAGGCUCGGCAAGGUACUCACGGGCACGAAGAUGCGUCGCAGCGACGGUUUGCUUUCAGAGCAGAUCUCGACGACGUUCUAUGGCUCGGCUACGGCUGCUGCUCGACCUAGAGUUGGGGCAGGGGGGUUUGGCGGAGCUGGGGCGCUAUUUAAGGUCCCCUCGGCGUGCGGGGCAAGCCAACCGCGAGGAUCACGCGUGGCCGGUGCGAAAUCUCCACCGAGUCCGGCUCGGUUACGAGGUGGGAGACGGAUCCGAUAGGUGGGGUCCGCCUGGCAGUGACACGGGGGGGUGGGCCAGCUCUGCAGUGGAAGAAGAGAGGGGGGAUGCUGGCGCGGGGGCUUAGCUGGGCCGCGGCCUUCUGCGCUUGGCUGGGCCGAGGGAAAGACAGGGGGGUGGGGUGUGGGCCUCGGGGCCAAAACCAAAGGGAGGGUUCUUCCCUUUUUUUUCAUUUUCUGUUUCUCUUUUCUUUUAAAACAAAACUAUUUCAAAAUAUUUUCAAAACCAAAAUUUGAAUUCCUUUUCAAUCUUUAUCCAAACCACUCACCACAAUAAAUCCAAGUGCAAGGGCAUGCAUGCUCAAACAAGUUGUUAACUCCUAUAGUAAAUUUUAAUUAAAAUAAAAAUAUUAUUUUUCCUAUAUUUCAUGGGCACAAAAAUACACAAUUUAACAAUUUAUCCUAUUUUGGAAAAUUGCAAAUUUUGGGGUGUUACACUCGAGCUCAUAGGUGGGAGACAGCUAAUACAUACUUACAAGACACUUAUUGUAUAGUCAACCCAUGGAUCCAGAAGAACAAGUCAAUAAGUCAAAUCAAGAUGUGCAUGUGUGGCGAAUGAAUGGUGAUAAUGGUGAAAAUAAUGGUGAAAGUCUAAUUCUAGUUUUUGCUCUUUUGAGGGGGUACAUACCUUUCUUGCACUUGAGGCUUUUGAGGGGAAUGAGACGCUCUAUAUUUUAUUUUUCUUUUCUCUCAGGUGGGUAUCUUGUACCCCUAAUUCUACUGUCAGACACUUGUCCAUUUUUACCUCUCGUCUCACUUUUUCUCUUUUUUUUCUUUUUUUCGAGGUUUCGGGCACUUGCCCCUUUUUAUUUCCUCUAUUCACUUUUUUUUCAGAGCACUCACCCUCCUGGAAUAAUGUAGCAAGUGGUAGUAACCAAAAUAUCUCGAGCAUUUAUUUCACGGGGAAUAACAGGGAUAGGAUAAUGUUUUUGGCUAUUCUCUCCUAAAUAGGAGUAGAAUAAUUUUGGGUGACUCUGGAUAUGGAAAUGAGUGGAUGUAUGUCGAUGCGUACUUCCGGAGUAGAAGCAUCAUGUAUGAGUGAACGUGCAAGUAAAUCUUGAUUUUAACCAUAUGACAAGCUCCUAAGGGUCUACACACCUUGACCACACUCAAUGCUCAUAAGCAGUAAAAAGUAAAUGUAUAGUUCAUAGUCUAAUAAGCAUGUAUAUAUGGCUGUGGUAGGAUUUUAAACUCUCAUCAUACAGGAACUCAUCAUGCAACAUUUUAAAGAUUUUCAAAGAUAAAAUUCUCCAGAAUUCUAGCAUCUCUAGAAACAGAUAAACAACAGCUCAACCUUACCGUAUCAUAUCCGUUAACGACUUAGACUUUAGAUCAAGUACUCUUCCCACAAGUUCAGGUUUAUAGCAAAUCUUAAUUAAUAACAGUCAUGCCUAAACUUGAGAGAGAUUUCAAUUUUGAGAACUAGUCAUGGCAGAGCAACUAUUCAUCAUUUCCAUAUGAGAGCUUAUCAUGAGGGUUCGCAAACUUUAUUUAUUUAUUUAUUUAGAAAACUAAGCAAAGAUAUAUAUAUAUAUAAGCACAAAAUAUUUAUUUGGGUUUUUAUGAUUAGUGUUGACAGUCCUUAAUGCUCACAAUUAACCAUCAAUUAAUCAUGGAAAAGGAUCCAAAUGCAACCAACACCUAGACUUAGGGUUUUAUCUGACAGAAUUCCACGAGUUUUGGUGUUUGUCUAUUUCUGCAGGGGGUUAUCGGGAAAUAAGGAAGAAAGGCCCACACGUCGGGUUUACAUAGAGAUAUUAACAUGCCGCGCAAUUUUCUAUCAUCUAGAAGACUCCAGAAGCCACGGGAACGAACGGGAAGGAAAUCGGGCUCGGAGGCAGGGCGCCCGCCCAACUCUCUUGGGCAUCAGGACACGUUUCGCGGAUUAUGCUCCACCGACCUAAAGGAUCAACGAAAACCAUGCGAUUAAUGUCAUUUUGAUCCGACGGCCCAGAUUCACUUGAAGAGACUAUAAAACCAGACUCCCUGGCCCCUGGAGAUCAUACCUCUUCUACAGAAUCAAAGUUAGGGUUUCCAUUCUUCAUCCAAGUAGAGAGGAUCCCUCUAGUUCUUCUAGUUCUACCUCUAGUUCAUCUAGAUCUAGUUCUAGUUCAUCUAGUUCUAGUUCUAGUUCCUCUAGUUCUAUUUCUAGUUAGUUCUAGUUGUAAUCUAGAAAAUAGGGAGAGAGAAGAGGAGAGCGGAGGAGCCGGAUCUGUCGGAUCUUCCUCAACAUUAUACUUUUGCAGCAUCUGGUUCGUUCUUCAUCGUUCUCCAGGUUCUUCAAUUCAUAAUUCCUGAGUUCUUUAAUUACUUUUAUUUACAUUCAAGUUAUUUAUUGGAUUCCCGCUUGCAUCAAGUGCUCUAGUCUUUAUAACGCUAGAGUAGUAAUUAAUAGAUUAGACGUGGUGUUUAGUCUUGCAAUUACCUGGAAUUGCACCCAAUCCUGCGGAUUGUUGUGGUAGCCUUAGGGUAGUGACAGCCCUAACGGUCGACGUAUUCCACCACGUUCGGAUCGGUGUUUGUAGGACCGUAGUCAGACCUUCCUAGCCCCCUUCUCAUCUCUUUCUGUUGUUAGUGCUCUGAUGUCCCGAUAUAGAUAACCUUGAAGUAAUUCUUGAUUCUUAGAUCAACUAGAGAACUCUCAGGAAACUUCCUCUCUUCCCACCAAAAAUAAUUAUAUAGUUAUCCUUGGGCGAUCUUGGAUCUUAAUUAGUACACUCACGUUCUCUGUGGAAAAUCGAUACUCUGGAAUACUCCCGGGUGAAAGCUACAUCGGUAUCCGUGCGUUUGCGGAUUUUUCUGUUUGCGUUUAAAAUACCCAACAAGCUUUCUGGCGCCGUUGCCGGGGAACGGUAGUUGUGCUAGUUUCGAACCAAGUCGUCCGUGUAUCCUGUUUCUUUUCCUUUUUUACCAUACUCACCUUACCAUUUUCACCAUACCACAUGGAUUUCACUCUAAGCAUUAAUGAGCAUGGAAUUUAUUUCAUAGCCACUUCAUUUACUCCAUGCUCAUAUGCAACAUCUUCACAAUCCAUUGGUCUCUCCAACAUCACCACAUUCGAGAUCUCCAACCCCCUCAUCCUUUUCAUUUACAAAAACUUUAAAAGGGCGGUUGUCGAUGCAUAUGUCUAUAUUAAAUAUUGCAGAUCUCGUUGAGUUGAUCUUGAUAUAGGUCAGCGUUGGAGGGGAAACCACUUCGCCGACAUAAAUUGAUGGUUUCCCAAGGACAAGCUUAGUGUCCUAAAAUAAGCACUGAUUAGAUCGUAACAUGAGCUUUGAAUUAUUUGCAAUAUUACCUUGUGUGUUGAGCAUAUAAGGAUAAUUGUAAAAAUAUUCCUUCGGGUAUUCUUGUCACUAACCUUUCUAGGAUUGGAGCAAGAAGAUCGGAUAAAUGACAAGCACAAGGUAUGUACAACCAAUCAUCGUACAACAUUGAAUUAAAUUCAUCCAAACUUGAAUUUUGCAAAAUUCAAGCUUGGGGGAGUACUUUAUAUAAAAACAUCAUUUGCCAUGUUGCUAUGUUGGUUGUCCCUACCUUUGAGACAUGCUCAAUUUGUUAAAUAGUAAUCACACUACUUCAUCUCCACUUGAGUAGAUCUCUAUAAAAGCCAUCACGCUACCUUUGUUUAUCCUAGUAAGUGUUAGUUUGGAAGUACUGUACAUACUUCUAUUGGUUUUUAAAUUAAGCAUGGUGCUUAGGUUAAACAGCCUUCCUUAAUCUAAUUAGACAUGGAGUCUAGUUUGGUUAUUGAACUAAAAACUGCUUGUGUAGACAUUGGUAUAUUUUUUUGGACUAACCCCUGUAGGAAAACUUUCAAUAUCGACCUGGGAAGUCCUGAGACAAACUCACAUUGGAGCCAAAGAGAGAGACACAUGAAGUUUAACAAUUUACACAAGGAAGGCAUAAGAGAUGAUCCAUGGAGGGUGCUACAAACACGAUGCACAACCGCUAAGAAAGGAAAGCUUCCACAAGGUCAUACUGUACCAUCACUCUUCAAGUAAGGUAACAUCUUAAAGUACUUGUCUAUCACUUUUAUAAGCUUCUCCUUGGUUCUGGCGUUCACAUGAAUAAAAGAGACAAACAUGUAUGAUUUACAACUCUAGAUUAACCAACCCAAUUAUUCAACAUGUUUAGUCCUUUAAUCUUUGUUCUUAGUACUACCUUCGUGAUCCCACACUCCUAAUCAUGUAAGAUAAAAUGUUGCACAUUCAUUCUUUGGAAGAUAUAAACAAAACAUAAAUAUAGAUAGAUUAUCUUUCCAUUAGGUUGAGCCAUCUGAUCUGACAAAUGUUUUAAAUGCUACACUCAUGAUCUUAUUAUCCAUCAACUUUGUCUUGCUCACUAUGCUUAAGGUUAGAGAAGAAUAAAUACACUUUUGGUUCUGUUGGUGUUUUCCACCAACAGAGCCCAUGCACUUGAUCUCUGCCUUUUCUCUAAGAGCAGGUACACUUUGAGCAAAAUAUGAAGGACUUUUACAACUCCCAGACUCCACCAAGUGAAGAACUUGUAUCUACGAGCACAAACACACUGGAGAUACUAGACACUCAGGCAAUCACUGCCCUGAGAUGCUUGAGGACAUAACUACUGGAGUAACCCUGUAGUGGAAGUAAUUACCGACCUUCUGCCGGUCAAGAGAGACAACCCAGGACGCCCCGUCAUCCCGAUCUCCAUCGGCAUGGUGGACUUCUUAGAAGCACUCUGCGACUUUGGCUCCAGCGUCAACAUUAUGCCCAAGCCUGCAGAUCAGACACUAAGUUUCCCAAAGGGAAUUUUGAAGAACCUCUGCGUUCGAGUUGGUACCUUGUACGGCCCAGCAAACUUCGUGGUGAUAGAGACUGGUACUGAUGAGAGGGCACCCAUCUUAGGGAGGCCAUUCCUGAACACCUCGGGAGCUGUCAUCUACGCUAGUGCUGCCAAGAUCAGUUUCUACAUCAAAGGGAGAAAUGAGACAUUUUCCUUCAAGAACAAGACUACACAAUCUCAGAGAAUUCCCGACAUGAACCAAGGAAGAGGACCAACAGGAGGAACAGGAACAAGCAAGUGUGGACCGAGUCAGCUAAGAUGGUCACUGCAGUUCAAGGAGGUCAAGAUCAUCUAUUUAAGUCACCGUUCUUGACCAAAAAGGAUGACUCAGUCACCUAUCAGCUUCUGUUAGGAACCAUGCCCUUAAAACCGACAUACACCCAGCUCCAAAUGGCAGAUCAAACAUUUCAGAAGGUUGAAGUUAUUGACAUAGGAGAAGACGAGUACGAUCCACCCAUCAUCCUUGGAAGACCGUUCCUCAACACCGUUAAAGCAAUCAUCUACAUUGGAACCGGCGGAGUCCACAUGCACUUCCCCUCUGAAAAGGUACGCCACUAUUUUACUAACCUUAACUACAUAGUUGAAGACUCUAAGCAGGUCAGGACAAGAAUACGACGACGCAACCGCAACCAGAGGAGGCAAAUCAUCAAGGACGGAUGGGUAGACUAUGAAGGAGAAGUUGUAAGGUCUGAAGACAUACAACUUGAACAGAACUGUCCUAGGAGACCGUAGCACCGAGUCAGGUGUGGAAAGAGAAAAUAGUUAUACACAAAGAGAAAGCACCGUCGGAACCACCGACUACGCCAUCCAGCGAAUCCCAGGAUGAUUCAGGAAACGGAGAGUCCCGUUCGGAGGACUUAAAAACACCGAACGUCUUGCCAAGAGGUAAACUUGGUAGUUAUCUUUCUCCUUUCAAUUAUUUAAAAUAGUUUGCUUAGUUAAUCAGGUUCACAUCAUCUUGAAAAGAAAAUAAAAAUGUUGAAGAUAGUAAGCCCCAUGUGAGUAUGCUCAUGGUAUAAAACCCAUAAGCACAUUCACUGUGGUGGCGUAAAAAUAAAAUAAAUAUAUUCCUGUCCUAUAAAAAUGAAAAUAUAAAAAUAAAUUUAUGAUCCUACUAAAGAGAGUAACAUUUAUUGAGGAGGCUCAACAUGAUAAAGGCUAAAUAUUUAUGCUAACACUUAACUAGUUCCACAAAGCUUUGUUGUCUAUUUGAGCUCCACAGAAUUCAAGGAUCAAAGAAGACUAGCAGACGGAGGACAUCCUAAUCGCUGUCAGGGUGCUGCCGACAUUCAAAUACACCUCCGCCACUUGCUAGCUAUAUCAUAAGAGAUUACGUCAAAAUCCAGCUUGGGGGAGAGCACCCCCAUUUAUCCAGCUAAGUAUUCUACUCACGUUUAUAUUUUACUCAAAUAAUAAAAAGAUGCAUAAUCAUAGAAACCCAAAUAAAGAUUUUGUGCUUAUAUAUAUCUUUGCUUAGUUUGCUAAAUAAAUAAAUAAAUAAAUAAAGUUUGCUAUGAACCCUCAUGAUAAGCUCUCACAUGGAAAUGAUGAAUAGUUGCUCUGCCAUGACUAGUUCUUAAAAUUGAAAUCUCUCUCAAGUUUAGGCAUGACUGUUAUUAAUUAAGAUUUGCUCUAAACCUAAACUUGUGGGGAGAGUACUUGAUCUAAAGUCUAAGUCGUUAACGGAUACGAUAUGGGAAGGUUGAGCUGCUGUUUAUCUGUUCCUAGAGAUGCUAGAAAUCUGGAGAAUUUUAUCUUUGAAAAUCUUUAAAUUGUUGCAUGAUGAGUUCCUGUAUGAUGAGAGUUUAAAUUCCUACCACAGCCAUAUAUACAUGCUUGCUAGACUUUGCGCCACACAUUUACUUUUUACUGCUUAUGAGCAUUGAGUGUGGUCAAGCUGUGUAGACCCUUAGGAGCUUGUCAUGUGGUUAAAAUCAAGAUUCACUUGCACGUUCACUCAUACAUGCUACUUCUACUCCGGAAGUACCAUCCACAUAUAUCCACUCACUUCCAUCUCCAAAUUCACCCAAAAUUAUUCUACUCCUAAUCCGGGAGAGAAUAGCCAAAAAUAUUUUCCUAUCCCUGUUAUUCCGUGUGAAAUACAUGCUCGAGUUAUCUUGGUUACUACCACUUGCCACAUUAUUCUAGGAGGAUGAGUGCUCUAAAAAAAAGAAAAAAAAUGAAGAAUACGAGGAAAUAAAAAGGGGCAAGUGCCCGAAACCUCGAAAGAAAAGAAAAAAAAGAAGUGAGACGAGAGGUAAAAAUGGACAAGUGUCCGACAGUAGAAUUAGGGGUACAAGAUACCCACCUGAGAGAAAAGAAAAAAAAUAUAGAGCAUCUCAUUCUCCUCAAAAAGUUUCAAAAGAGCAAGAAAGGUAUGUAUUCCCUCAAAAGAGCAAAAGUAGAAUUAGACUUUCACCAUUGUUAUCACCAUCAUCACCUUACACCAUUCAUUCGCCACACAUGCACAUCUUGAUUUGACUUAUUGACUUGUUCUUCUGGAUCCAUGGUUUGACUAUGCAAUAAAUGUCUUGUAAGUAUGUAUUAGCUGUCUCCCACCUAUGAGCUCCAGAUAUCAAAACCUUAUUAGAGUAGGGUGAGAGAGAAGGCAAUGUCACUAUGCCUCAUACUACAAAUACCACAUACUUUGAGAGAAGGCAUACACCAUUAAUGCCUUGGUAAGGAUCCAGAAAUACCAUAAAAUAGAGACUAGAGAGAGUCAUACAAGGAAUCUCUGAGUUUUAUUUGAAAAUCUGCAAAAACUCCAGAGCUAUAGCUGAUCA